UAAAACUAAGGGACUGCAAUCUUUGUGAAGGAGAUAUUCCACCUGAUAUUUCUGGUCUAUCCUCUUUGCUAUCUCUUGAUCUUAGUGGUAAUAAUUUCAUCAGCAUACCUGCAUCUCUUACUCAACUCUCGAAGCUUGAAAAUCUUUAUUUGUCAAAUUGCAACAUGUGCACUUUUGGUGAAGCAGAUACUCAUCGUGAUAUUUCUGGUCUAUCCUCUUUGAGUCAUCUUAAUCUUAAUGGUAACAAUUUCAUCAGUAAACCUGCAUCUCUUACUCGACUCUCAAAGCUUAAGUCUCUUGAAUUGUCAAAUUGCAACAUGUGCACUCUUGGUGAAGCAGAUACUAAUAGUGACAUUUCUGGUCUAUCCUCUUUGAGUUAUCUUUAUCUUUGUUAUAUCAAUUUCAUCAGCAUUCCUUCGGCUCUGACUCAACUUUCCAGGCUCAAAUUGCUUAAAUUGUCAGGUUGCAAGAUGCUUAAAUCGUUGCCUGAGCUACCAACAAGUAUAGGAAGUGUGACAAUAGAUAAUUGUUCUUCACUUGAAGUAGUUGGAAGUCCAUCAAAAGUAUGCAAUUUAGUGGGUCGUGAAAGCAUUCGUGCCAUUAACUACUUCAAAUUGGCUGAGAAAAUCAAUGCAGUAGCACUGCUGAAAGAACAUAUUAAGGUCUAUUAAUCUAUUUUUUUUUCUCCCUUACAAAAUCUCAUACUUGAGAAAUUGUGGUUUUAGUUACCAGACGACUUGUGUUUUAUUUUGCAGGCACUUCCAAAUUCUAGAAAAUUGUAUAAUGAUGGCGUCUUUGAUAUUAUGAUGCCCGGAAUUGAAAUUCCAGAAUGGUUUAGCCAACAAAAAAAUGACUCUUCAAUUAAGAUACCCCUACCUAUCAACCUUCGGAAAGAUGGUCAAUGGAUUGGAGUUGCUUGUUGCUGCAUUUUUGUCAAUAAUGAUGCUUCAUGGAAUAAGGAGUUUAUCAGCUGUAAAGGAUCUAUUUUUCGAGGUAGAAAUUGUCGACUAAUUUUUUUGAGAAAUCGGUGGGUAGGUCAAUCCUAUCACAAUCCCAUAAUGAAAGAUCACCUUUUUCUUCGUUAUUUUCCUCGUGAUGAAUUAUAUCCAAUUUCCUUGGAGGAUAAAUAUGGUGACUGUGAAACCAAUAAUUUAUGCACAACAGAUUGCUUAGAUCAAAUAUGCGAUGAGCUUGAGUUGUGUUUCAAUACCAAAUUUGGACCAAAUUCUGGUUGUGUUAAGGUGAAGAAGUGUGGCGUUAGAAUAGUGUAUGAGAAAGAUUUGGAAGAAAUGAAAGAGUUGCAGUGUCAUACCACUCAAUCUUCUCCAAAAUUUGAACACAUCCACCAACACUCUGCUCACAACCAUGGAUCAGUAGGUAGCACUUCUCACAUAAAACGGAAAUGUAAUAUCUAUGAGGAAACAGAGGAAGAAGAGCCGCAACCAAAGCGGAUGCAAAAUUUUUUCAAUUUUGUAAAGGGCCAAUCAAGAAAGAAGCAUUAACUGUGGUAAACUACUUAACCAACUUCGUCCUAUUAAUUGUAUUUUUACACAUCUUGUAUUCCAUUUAAACAAUUAUUCUAGACUUGUUUUGCAUAUGAGAUAUGAUCCUUCCAUUAUAUGCCAAAACAUUUUAAAAAAUUUUAUUCAUAUUCAUAUUCAACAUAUACAUAUUUUAAAUGUUGAUAACAUUAUUUUUUAUACCAUUUAAAAUUUUAGUCACUUAAGUCCGGUUGUUUGGGGUAAAACAUUUUUGAAGACAUAAUCAUGGAUAAUAAAAGGUAAGAAGACACAUAUACACUUAUAUCUAUGUGUGCUGUAAAUAAUUAUUGUUUUUAAAUAUGAUAAAAAAAACUAUAGCAAAACUUUUGACAUUCAAUAAUUCAAUGUUUAAUUAUGAAAUUUAUCUAGCAACAUAUUUACUUUUUCAAAAGAAUCAAAAGAGAAAUGUAUGUAUUUUUGAAAUAUUAAUGGUAUAUUUUUUUGUGAAAAUUAAUGGUAUAUAUUUAAUGUACUAAAAGUGUAUAUCAACGAAUUAGAUUAUAACAUGUCAUCGAAAUUUUUUUAAUGAAAAUAGUUUCAUUUUUAAUUAUGUGUCAUUGUUGGUUCAUUAACUUGUAAAUUAUGCUUUGUUUGCGGACCGAAUAUAAAUCAACAUAUUAAUUCAAUUUUUUAGGAUUAGGUAAUUUAACAUCGGAUGGGAUUAUUAGAUAUAAGUAUCUCUUUAAUAUGGCUAUGUUAAAAAAAUAUAUUUAAAAAUUGUUUUUAUUCACAUAUUUAAAAGGUUCUUAAAGGAUCAUAUCUUAAUACCCAUAUACGAAUAUGCAUUAGAUAUAAGUAUUGGAUACGAGUACUUAAAAAACAAUAUUGAUGUAACAUUUCUUUUAGAUAUUGAAUGUUUUUGUAUAUUUUGAAGCUCAUUUUUGUUUUGCUCAUGGAUAUUAGGGAAUCGAACAAGAUACUCAAUUUGAGUGUGGAUACCUUCUUGAAGAUGAAAAAAUUGAGAUUGCUUAAAGUGCUUUGCCUUUCAAAUUGUGAUGAUGAUCUCAAAUAUCUUUCUAAUGACCUACGACUUUUAGAUUGGACAGGAUACCCUUUAAGAAACUUGCCUUCAAGCUUUCAACCGGAUAACCUUGUCGCACUUCUUUUACCAUAUAGUCACAUUCAACAACUAUGGAAGGGAAAUAGAGUAAGAAUUAACUCAUCUUAUCCUUGUGUUUUAGCUUAUUUUAAUAUAAAUUAUUAAACUUUGAUUAAGGUAAAACAAAAAAACAAAAAUGAGCAUUAUUAUGUUUUCUCAUUUGUUUCUAAUUUAUUAUGGUCUUCAACAGCCCUUGUUUAACUUGAAAAUAAUGAACCUCAGAGGGUCUCAAAACCUGAUCAAGACACCAGACUUCACAACAGCAUCAAAUCUUGAAGUUUUGAUUUUGGAAGGUUGUACCAAAUUAGUGGAUGUUCAUCCAUCAAUCGGGGUGCUUAAGAGCCUUAAACUUUUGAAUUUAAGAGAUUGCAAAAGUCUUAGGACUCUUCCAACAAAAAUUGGAAUGGAAUCUCUUGAAACAUUCAUUCUUUCGGGUUGCUCAAGUCUUGUAAGGUUUCCGGAGAUUGAUGGGAAAAUGGAACGUCUAAAAACUCUAGAUCUUUUCGGUUGUUAUAGAGUGGAAAACUUAUCGGAGAAUUUGCAGCAAGCAAAGUUUUUGGAAGAGCUCGACUUAAGUGAAACAGCCAUAACAGAACCACCAUCCUUCAUUUUUCAAUUUAAAAAUCUUAAAGUUCUGUCUUUCAAUGGGCGCAAGGGACCAUCAUAUAAGUUGCUACCAAAUUUGCCUUCUCUUUUCAAGGUAAUCCAAGGAAGAAGGACGAAUCCCAUGGCUCGGAUGUUGCCUUUGUUGUCAAGUUUGAGUUCUUUAAGAGAGCUAAAACUAAGGGACUGCAAUCUCCGUGAAGGAGAUAUUCCACGUGAUAUUUCUGGUCUAUCCUGUUUGGAAAAACUUGAUCUUAGUGGUAACAAUUUCAUCAGCAUACCUGCAUCUCUUACUCGACUCUCGAAGCUUGAAAAUCUGACAUUGUCAAAUUGCAACAUGUGCACUUUUGGUGAAGCAGAUACUCAUAGUGACAUUUCUGGUCUAUCCUCUUUGAGUUAUCUUGAUCUUAGUGGUAACAAUUUCAUCAGCAUACCUGCAUCUCUUACUCGACUCUCAAAGCUUUAUGUUCUUGUCUUUUCAAAUUGCAACGUGUGCACUCUUGGUGAAGCAGAUAUUCAUAGUGAUCUUUCUGGUCUAUCCUCUUUGAGAUAUCUUUAUCUUAGUGGUAAGAAUUUGUUCAUUGUUCCAACAAAUUUCAUCACCAUUCCUUUGGCUCUUUCUCAACUUUCCAGGCUCAAAUUGCUUAAAUUGUCAGGUUGCAAGAUGCUUAAAUCGUUGCCUGAGCUAUCAUCAAGUAUAGCAGUUGUGAGUAUAGAUGGUUGUUCUUCACUUGAAGUAGUUGCAAGUCCAUCAAAAGUAUGCAAUUUAGUGGGUUGUGGUGACAUUAGUGCCAUUAACUGCUUCAAAUUGGCUGAGAAAAUCAAUGCAUUAACACUGCUGAAAGAACAUAUUAAGGUCGAUUAAUCUAUUUUUUCUCCCUUACAAAAUCUCAUACUUGAGAAUUUAUGGUUUUAUUUACCAAACGACUUGUGUUUUAUUUUGCAGGCACUUCCAAAAUCAAGAAAAUUUUUUGAUGAUGGCUUCUUUGAUAUUAUGAUGCCCGGAAGUGAAAUUCCAGAAUGGUUUAGCCAACAAAAAAGUGACUCUUCAAUUAAGAUACCACUUCGGAAAGAUAGUGAAUGGAUUGGAGUUGCUUGUUGCUGCAUUUUUGUCAGUAAUGAUGCUUCAGGGAAUAAGGCGUCUAUCGGCAUUGAUGGAUCUAUUUUUCGAGGUAGAAAUUGUCGACCAAUUGAUUGGAGAAACCAGUGGGUAGGUCGAUACUUUCACAAGCCCAUAAUGAAAGAUCACCUUUUUCUUCGUUAUUUUCCGCGUGAUGAAUUAUAUCCAAUUUCCUUGGAGGAUAAGUAUGGUGACUGUGAAACCAAUAAUUUAUGGACAACAGAUUGCUUAGAUCAAAUAGGCGAUGAGCUUAAGUUGUGUUUCAAUACCAAAUUUGGACCAAAUUACCGUUGUGUUAAGGUGAAGAAGUGUGGUGUUAGAAUAGUGUAUGAGAAAGAUUUGGAAGAAAUGAAAGAGUUGCAGUGCCAUACCACUCAAUCUUCUCCAAAUUUUGAACACAUCCACCAACACUCUGCUCACAACCAUGGAUCAAUAGGUAGCACUUCUCACAUGAAACGAAAACGUAAUAUCUAUGAGGAAACGGAGGAAGAAGAACCGCAACCAAAACGGAUGCAAAAUUUUUUCAAUUUUCUAAUGGGCCAAUCAAGAAAGAAGCAUUAACUGUGGUAAACUACUUAACCAACUUUGCUCAAUUAAUUUUCUUUUUUACACAUCUUGUAUUUCAUUUAAAUAGUUAUUCUAGAAUUGUUUUGCAUGAGAUUAGGGGUGAGUAUUCGAUCGAAUCGAAUCGAAUCGAAUCGAAAAUUUUUGAGUUAAUCGAGUUUUCGAAUCUCAUUUUAUCAUCCUAACUUUAUUUGAAGUUUUCUCGAAUCGAGUCGAGUGAGAUAGAAUUUGAAUCGAAUCGAAUAUAUUUGUUCGAGUUAAAUUUUAAAAAAUAAUUUUUGGUCCUUGUAACUAUUGUCACCUAUCGUAAUAAAAUUUGUCCACCUUAAUCAAAAUUUUUAUUAACUUUCAUAACCUCAUAAUUUAUUUAUUAAUUUUUUAUAUAUUGGUUAGCUUCUUUGCUUGCUUAGUUGUUUCAAUUAUCUUCAGAUUUUUGUCACUGUGUAUUUUGGAAUUAAAAAAUAUAUUAAAUGUAAAAAUAUGAUUUUUUAAUAAAAGUUAUUUUAAAAAUAAAAUGUGAAAUUGAUACCAAUAUAAAAUUUUAACACGAAUAUUUUAUGGCAUAAUUAAUAAUUCAAUUUUAAUAUAAAUAUUCAAUAUGACUAAACAAUUCAAUAAUAUAAAUAAUAUAAAAUAUGAUAUUUAAUUUAAUAAUAUAAAUAGUAGAUAUAAAUAAAAUUAUUACUAUUUAUGUUUAGUGAUUUUUUUUGGAUAAUUUUGAUUUUUUAUUUGAGAGUAAAGGGUGAGAAGUAAAAGUUUAGGGGGAAAAUAAAAAGUUUUGAGGAAUAAAAGUUUGAGCGAAUGUAAAUAGGAGGAGUAAAAUUUUGGAGGGAAAAUAUUAAAAAAAAUUUUGGAGGGGGGAGGGUUUGGGGUAGAUGGGAGGUGGGAUGGGAAGGAAAUAAAAGUUUUAGGGGAAAAGUGGGAGGGAGUAAAAAUUUUAGGAGAAAAUAAAAGGUUUUGAGGAUUUUUUGGAGUAAAAUUUUGAGAAAAAGUAAAUGGGAGAGUAAAAUUUUUGUUGGGAAAUGGAUUUUGGGUAGAUUGGAUGGUUGGGAGGGGAGAGGAGUAAAAGUUUUGGGGGGAAGUGGGAAGGAGUAAAAGUUUUGAGGGAAAAGUAAAAAGGUUUAGGAGUUUGGGGUAAAAAUGUAAAAUAUUAUAGUUUGAUAUUUGAAUUGUUCGAGUUAUUCGAAUUCGAAAACUCAACUUGAUUCGAAUUCGAAAUUCGAAAAAAAUUCGAGUUGAUUCGAAUAACUCGAUUCGUUUAACUCGAAAUUCGAAUUUUUUUCGAUUUUUUCGAGUCGAAUCGAGUUUUGCUCACCCCUACAUGAGAUAUGAUCCUUCCAGCCAAAACAUUUUAAAAAAUUUUAUUCUUAUUCAUAUUCAACAUGUACAUAUCUCAAAUGUUGAUAACAUCGUUUUUAUACCAUUUAAAAUUUUAGUCACUUAAUUCAUUCCUUUUUACAUAAUCUAAAUGUGUAUAUUUUGAUUGGUUUCACAUUUUUUUAUUAAAAAUUUAUUUCCACUAUAUUUAUAUAAAUUCACUUACAUCUAUAUUUUAUUUGUAGGUUGAAGAUGAAGCAAAUUAAAACAAAAUUGUGAGACAAAAAUGGAGACGAAGCAAGUAAUGAUAAAGUGAGAAUCCUUUAAUAAGGAUCGAUCAUAAUUUCAACUGAGUUAACAAUCAUUUUAUUUUUAUUGGAGACCAACUUAUGUGUUCAAUUUAAUCCGUCAAAACUGUUUUUAUAUAUUUAAAAGAUUAAAUAUAAAUCCUUAAAGGUACUUAAAUAGAUUCAAUCCCUUCUAAUAAAGUAUCAUUUAAAUUUCAUGACUUGAAGUACAAAUAAUAUUAUUCUAAUUCCUCAGUUUAAAAUUUUUUUAUAAAAUAUUUACCUUUAGACAUUUAUUUUUAAUAUUUAUUCAAAUAUGAAUAUAAAGUAUGCACUAAUAUUCAUUUAGAAAAUCUUUGUUCGUGAGACACUUAUUCAUAUUUUUUUCUUUUAAAAAUUCAAUACAUUCAUUUAUCUCUCCUCGCUGGACCUCCGGCUGGUUUCGCCAUUAUAAUCUGCAAACCUUGAAUCAACGGCAUUACUGAGCUUAGUGGAAGCAAAUGUUGGGAAAAUGGAAUACAGAUGCGAUCCUAAGCAACAAAUACAGCUUUGCAUGAGAACCUAAUCCCAUCACCAAACUAUUUUAAGUGCUUGGAACUUGAAAAUGAGAGCUCUUCCUUAUCCUGCUCUAUCUUCUGCGACUAAUGUAAAAGAGUUACAACAAUGCAUACACAAACAAAACGAAUAUGGCGGCCUUCAGCUUCAUCAAUACACGGAGGGCUAUACUUAAGAUGUUGCUCAUAGAAGCUGAUUAAGCUGAUUAACUGCAAUGGAAGAAAAAAAACACAAAAGAAGUGCAAGAAUUGUCAGCUCUUUGAGUCAAUUUAAUAAAGGAAAAGAUCAGGCAAGAAAAUGAUCCAUUACCAGCAGUGGAUUGUUAGCUUGAAGACACUGGUUGUCCACCAUAACCUCUUUUCCAUCUGACCUGUCAAAAUGUGACAAACAAAAUUUAUCAUCGACAACAUGAACUUCAAGAAAGUGCAGCGUAAGUUUGAGGACUCUCAGAGACUUCAACAACAGAAUCACAUCUAAUUAAUUGUGUUUGUUCUUCUCCACUUUUAUUAUUUUAUUGUUUAUAUGGACAAUCCUAACAUAUAUUAUGAGUGAAACUUAAAUUUCUCAUACGUUUAAUAUUUUUAAUAUUAAAAUAUAUAUCCUUCUUAAAAUACGUGAAUUUAGGUCAAAUUAAAUGAAAAGAGGAACUGAAUUUCUAAUUAGGUGUUAAUGGAAUCUUUGAUUUUAAUACAAGUGUUUUGUUAGUUCAUAUAUGGCUUAGUUAGUUUAUGGGUACGCAUGGAUUAAAUGAAAAAAAAUUAAAUUAAUUAAGUUGAUAAGUAUUAAUUUAUCAAUAAAAAUUAAUUUAAAAUUUUUAAUAAAUUAAAUUAAGUGAAAUAAAAUUUCGUAUCAAAUUUAUUUGAGUUAAUUUAGAAAUUUAAUCAAAUUAAGUUAAAACAUUUUUUAAUUUAUUAUUUAAAAUUUUAGAUAUCCAAACUAUAAAAAUCAAACUCUACUCAAAUCCGAAAAAGUCGGAAAACUUUAAUAAUUUCCAUAACUCAAACUAAUUUAGCCACCCAUUAAAACCACACCAUCGUACCAAAUCAUAAUAAAAAGAAUUUUUUAAAAAAUUACAAAACCAACCCUUAAAAUUUUAGAUGAUCAAAAGUCAAAACUUAUCUAAAAUGGGUCGUCAUCCCUAAACUCGAUGAUUUUAAUGGUCAACCAGGUAGGUACCAAAAUUGGUGCCUUUAUAAUGCUUUUUCUUCUUCUUUCUCUACAGGAGUUCUUUUUUUUUAUAUAUUUUUUUACACAUUAAAAAUUAAUUAUAUAUAUUGGCAUAUUGUAUAUGUAUGUCAUGUUUACAUUACUUACAUAUUAUAAUAUAUUUUAUAUAGCUUAUCAUAGUUAUUCAAUAUAUUCGUUUUAUUAUUUAUGUGUGAGGCUCGUGACUAUCCUUCUAAUAAUAUUUGAAUCCGCAUUCAUUCUUUAAAAAUAUAAUGUGACUUACUAUUACACUCAACAUUUAUAUUUAUCUUGAAUUUUACAUAAUUUCUCAUAUUCAUUUAAUGUGUAUAUUUACAUUUUUUUUUCGAAGUACUAUAAAUUUAAAUAAAAUUUGACAUGGUAAUGAUUCAUUUUACGUGAGAGUUUAACAUAUUUGUUAUUUGUCAUGUAUAUAUAAUCUUGAUGGCAGCAGAACUGUGUUUUAAUUAUUUUACAUUAUUUUAUUAUGUAGGUUUUAAAAUAUUAGGAUAAAUCUCAAAAUUAUAUAUUAACUUUGAUUCAAUAUGUAAUUUAAUAAAUGAGCUUUGGUUUAGUGUAAUUAUACACGUGGAGCUUUGAUUUUGAUUUAAAUGUAUACAUUUUGAUUUUGAUUUUCAUCAUCCAUGCUGCUCUAAAGAGGGGUGGGAUCGUCACUUUCAGGGAUGAUCCAAAGCUGGAGGCCGGCGAAGAGAUCGCUCCAGAACUCUUUAAAGCAAUUCAGCAAUCAUGGUGCUCGGUAAUCGUUUUUUCACAAACUAAUGCCUUUCAAGUUGGUGCUUGGAGGAGCUCGCUGAGAUUGUUAAACAACAUAACAACGACGGCCAUAAAGUGUUUCCAAUUUUUUACGAUGUUGAUCCAUCUGAUUUAAGAAAACAAAAAGGGAAAGUGGAAGAAGCCUUUGCCAGACAUGAAGAGAGAUACAAAGAAGAAAGUGAGAAGAUCCAAAGGUGGCGAAAUGCUUUAAUUCAAGUGGCUGCAGGCAAGGGAUGGNNNNNNNNNNNNNNNNNNNNNNNNNNNNNNNNNNNNNNNNNNNNNNNNNNNNNNNNNNNNNNNNNNNNNNNNNNNNNNNNNNNNNNNNNNNNNNNNNNNNNNNNNNNNNNNNNNNNNNNNNNNNNNNNNNNNNNNNNNNNNNNNNNNNNNNNNNNNNNNNNNNNNNNNNNNNNNNNNNNNNNNNNNNNNNNNNNNNNNNNNNNNNNNNNNNNNNNNNNNNNNNNNNCAUUGAAAAAGAAAGUGCAUUCGAAACAUAUCACCCAAAACAUUAAAAUUUCUUUUUUUUAGGCAUGAAUCUGAAUUUAUUGGAGACAUUGUUAAGAAGAUAUCAGCAAAACUAUGUCAGGCAUAUCCAGCUACUCAUGGCGACUUGGUUGGUAUUAGUGAAAGCUUGGAGGAUUUGUAUUUGAAAAUAAACAUUGGGGAAGAUGAUGUCCGCUUUAUAGGAAUUUGCAGAAUGGGUGGCAUCGGUAAAACGACACUCGCAAGAGUUGCUUACAAUCAAAUGUCACCUCAUUUUGAAGGUAAAAGCUUUAUUGCUGAUAUUCGAGAAGUUUCAGACAAAUGCGGACUAGUUUCUUUACAGAAACAACUUCUUUCACAGAUCUUUCAUGGUGAAUGCUUCAACUUUUUCGAUGUUCAUGAAGGAAGUGACAUAAUUAGCCAUAGGUUGUCUCACAAAAAGGUUCUUGUUGUUCUUGAUAAUGUUGAUAACAUACAACACUUAAAAUGCUUGGUUGGAAGGCACGAUUGGUUCGGAUUAGGAAGUAGAAUCGUUGUAACAACAAGAGAAGAACAUUUGCUUCGAUAUUGGCCAGUUGAUGAUAUGUAUGAGCCCACAACAUUAAAUCCCAAAGAUGCGCUUCAACUUUUCAGUCUAAAAGCUUUUCAUAGUGAUACAGUGCAGAAAGAUGAUUUCAUUGAGCUUUCUAAACAUGUUGUAAAUUAUGCUGGUGGACUCCCCUUAGCUCUUGAAGUUUUGGGUUCCUUUUUGUGCGGUAGAGAUGCGACUCAAUGGAGAAGUGCGAUUGAAAGACUUAAAAGAGAUUCUAAUAAAGAAAUUCUCGAUAAACUUCGAAUCAGUUUUGACGGACUGGAAGAAAGGGAGAAAAAUAUAUUUUUAGAUAUAGCAUGCUUCUUCAAUGGGGAGGAGAAAGAUUUUGUGAUCAAAGUAUUAGAUGGUUGUGAGUUUUUUCGUGAUAUCGGAAUUGAUGUUCUCGUUAAAAAAUCUCUCUUAAAAGUCGAUGAACACAACAAAUAUUUGAAGAUGCAUGACUUGUUGCAAGAAAUGGGAAGAACAAUUGUUAAAGAAAAAUGUGUUGAUGAACCUGGAAAACGUUGCAGAUUGUGGGAGGAAAGGGACGUCCAUCAUGUCCUAACAAAAAACAUUGUAAGUCAUUCAACAAAAGUUACAUACUAUUUCCUUUUUAUCCUACAUUAUUUACCAUUUAUUUUAUUUUCUUAUUGUCUGUUCUUGAUUUUUUUAGGCUACAAAAAUGAUUGAAGACAUAAUCAUCGAUAAUAAAAGGUGAGAAGACACACAUAAACUUAUAUCCAUGUGUACCGUAAAUAAUUAUUGUUUUUAAAUAUGAUAAAAAAACUAUAGCAAAACUUUUGACAUUCAAUAUUUCAAUGUUUAAUUAUGAAAUUUAUCUAGCAACAUAUUUACUUUUUCAAAAGAAUCAAAAGAGAAAUGUAUGUAUUUUUUUGUGAAAAUUAAUGGUAUAUAUUUAAUGUACUAAAAGAGUAUAUCAUCGAAUUAGAUUGUAACAUGUCAUCAAAAUUUUUUUAAUGAAAAUGGUUUCAUUUUUAAUUAUGUGUCAUUGUUUGGUUCAUUAACUUGUAAAUUAUGCAUUGUUUGCGGACCAAAUAUAAAUCAACAUAGUAAUUCAAUUUUUUAUGAUUAGGUAAUUUAACAUCAGAUGUGAUUGUUAGAUAUAAGUAUCUCUUUAAUAUGAGUAUAUUCAAAAAAAAUUUAAAAAUUAUUUUUUUCACGUAUUUGAAAGGUUCUUAAAGGAUCAUAUCUUAAUACUCAUAUACAAAUGUGCAUUAGAUAUAAGUAUUGGAUACGAGUAUUUAAAAAACAAUAUUGAUGCAACAUUUCUUUUUAGAUAUUGAAUGUUUUUCUAUAUUUUGAAGCUCAUUUUUGUUUUGCUCAUGGAUAUUAGGGAAUCGAACAAGAUGCUUAAUUUGAGUGUGGAUACCUUCUUGAAGAUGAAAAAACUGAGAUUGCUCAAAGUGCUUUGCUUUUCAAAUUGUGAUGAUUUCGAAUAUCUUUCUAAUGAACUACGACUUUUAGAUUGGAUAGGAUACCCUUUAAGAUACUUGCCUUCAAGCUUUCAACCGGACAACCUUGUCGCACUUCUUUUACCAUAUAAUCACAUUCAACAACUAUGGAAGGGAAAUAGAGUAAGAAUUAACUCAUCUUAUCCUUGUGUUUUAGCUCUUUUUAAUAUAAAUUAUUAAAAUUAAGGUAAAAAAAAUGAGCAUUAUUAUGUUUUCUCAGUUGUUUCUAAUUUAUUAUGGUCUUCAACAGCCCUUGUUUAACUUGAAAAUAAUGAACCUCAGAGGGUCUCAAAACCUGAUCAAGACACCAGACUUCACAACAGCAUCAAAUCUUGAAGUUUUGAUUUUGGAAGGUUGUAUCAAAUUAGUGGAUGUUCAUCCAUCAAUCGGGGUGCUUAAGAGCCUUAAACUUUUGAAUUUAAGAGAUUGCAAAAGUCUUAGGACUCUUCCAACCAAAAUUGGAAUGGAAUCUCUUGAAACAUUAAUUCUUUCGGGUUGCUCAAGUCUUGUAAGGUUUCCGGAGAUUGAUGGGAAAAUGGAACGUCUAAAAACUCUAGAUCUUUCCGGUUGUUAUAGGGUGGAAAAUUUAUCGGAGAAUUUGCAGCAAGCAAAGUUUUUGGAAGAGCUCGACUUGAGUGAAACAGCCAUAACAGAACCACCAUCCUUCAUUUUUCAAUUUAAAAAUCUUAAAGUUCUGUCUUUCAGUGGGCGCAGGGGACCAUCAUAUAAGAUACUACCAUGUUUGCCUUCUCUGUUCAAGGUAAUCCAAGGAAGAAGGACGAAUCCCAUGGCUCGGAUGUUGCCUUUGUUGUCAGGUUUGAGUUCUUUAAGAGAGCUAAAACUAAGGGACUGCAAUCUUUGUGAAGGAGAUCUUCCACGUGAUAUUUCUGGUCUAUCCUCUUUGUGGUGUCUUGAUCUUAGUGGUAACAAUUUCAUCAGCAUACCUGCAUCUCUUACUCGACUCUCGAAGCUUACACAUCUUAUAUUGUCAAAUUGCAACAUGUGCACUGUUGGUGAAGCAGAUAGUCAUAGUGAUAUUUCUUGUUUAUCCUCUUUGAAAAGUCUUACUCUUAGUGGUAACAAUUUCAUCACCAUUCCUUUGGCUCUUACUCAACAUUCCGGGCUGCAAUAGCUUGUAUUGUCAGACUGCAAGAUGCUUAAAUUGUUGCCUGCGCUAUCAACAAAUAAACGAGUGCGGAUAGAUGGUUGUUCUUCAGUAGAAGUAGUUGCAAGUCCAUCAAAAGUAUGCAAUUUAGUGGGUUGUGACAUUACUGCCAUUAACUGCUUCAAAUUGGCUGAGAAAAUCAAUGCAUUAACACUGCUGAAAGAACAUAUUAAGGUCUAUUAAUCUAUUUUUCUCCGUUACAAAAUCUCAUACUUGAGAAUUUAUGGUUUUAGUUACCAGACGACUUGUGUUUUGUUUUGCAGGCUGUUCGAUAUCCAAGAGAUUGUUUUGAUGGUGGCAUCGUUGAUAUUAUGUUGCCCGGAAGUGAAAUUCCAGAAUGGUUUAGCCAACAAAAAAGUGACUCUUCAAUUAAGAUACCCCUACCUAUCAACCUUUGGAAAGAUAGUCAAUGGAUUGGAGUUGCUUGUUGCUGCAUUUUUGUCAAUAAUGAUGCUUCAAGGAAAGAGUUUAUUAGCUGUGAUGGAUCUAUUUUUCGAGGUAGAAAUUGUCGAUCUAUUUGUAAGAGAAACAAGUGGGUAGGUCAACGCUUGGACAAGCCCAUAAUGAAAGAUCACCUUUUUUUUCGUUAUUUUCCGCGUGAUCAAUCAUAUCCAUUUUCCUUGGAGGAUAAAUAUGGUGACUGUGAAACCAAUAAUUUAUGGACAACAGAUUGCUUAGAUCAACUAUGCGAUGAGCUUGAGUUGUCUUUCAAUGACAAAUUUGUACCAAAUUGUGUUAAGGUGAAAAAGUGUGGUCUAAGAAUAGUGCAUGAGAAAGAUUUGGAAGAGAUAAAAGAGUUGCAGUGCCAUACCACUCAAUCUUCUCCAAAUUUUGAACACAUCCACCAACACUCUGCUCACAACCGUGGAUCAGUAGGUAGCACUUCUCACAUGAAACGAAAACGUAAUAUCUAUGAGGAAAUGGAGGAAGAAGAGCCGCAAUCAAAACGGAUGCAAAAUUUUUUCAAUUUUGUAAUGGGCCAAUCAAGAAAGAAGCAUUAACUGUGGUAAACUACUUAACCAACUUUGUCCCAUUAAUUUUUUUUUGCGUAUGUGAUAUUUCCUUCAUACUCAUAUUCAACAUGUACAUAUCUCAAAUGUUUUAUACCAUUUAAAAUUUAACCAAGGAGGACUUCUUAUUCUUUCAGUUAAAUUCUGAUUACUUCAGUGAUAUUCUAGCCAUUUUAGCCCUUCUCUGUGUCUAUUUAAAGGAGUCAUUGUAUCCCUGUUUUGAUACGCAAAUCAGUAAUAGCUCUUCUUUAAGGGUAGCAAGAUGUAGUUAUAUAUGGGGUUUUGGUGAGAGUUUGAGAGGAUUUUAUGAAAUCCCUUUUGUGAGAGCUUUGGGUAUUAACUUUGUAAUCGGGGUUUGGAUUUUAGUGUUCUCAUUGUACUCUUGUUUUGUUUACUCCAUUAAUGUUAAGCCGAAGCCUCUUUUGUCCGUAGUUUUUAUUCUCUUUGGAAGAGUUUUUUAAUGUAAAAUAAUUGUGUUUAUUCUUCUCCACUUUUAUUAUUUCAUUAUUUAUACCGACAAUCCCAAAUAUAUAUUAUGAGUGAGACUUAAAUUUCAUCAAACGUUUAAUAAUUUUAAUAUUAAAAUAUAUAUCCUUUUUAAAAUAAGUGAAUUUAGGUCAAAUUAAAUGAAAAGAGGAACUGAAUUUCUAAUUAGGUGUUAAUGGAAUCUUUUAUUUUAAUUCAAGUGUUUUGUUAGUUCAUAUAUGGCUUACUUAGUUUAUGGGUAUGCAUGGAUUAAAUGAAAAAAAAUAAAUUAAUUAAGUUGAUAAGUAUUAAUUUAUGAAUAAAAAUUAAUUUAAAAUUUUUAAAAAUUAAAUUAAGUGAAAUAAAAUUUCGUAUCUAAUUUAUUAGAGUUAAUUUAGAAAUUUAAUCAAAUUAGGUUAAAAUAUUUUUUAAUUUAUUAUUUAAAAUUUUGUAUAUCCAAAUUAUAAAAAUCAAACUCGAUUCAAAUCCGAAAAAGUCGGAAAACUUUAAUAAUUUCCCUAACUCAAACUAAUUUAGCCACCUAUUAAAACCACUUUAUCAAAGCCACACCGUCGUACCAAAUCAUAAUAAAAAGAAAUUUUUAAAAAAUUACAAAACUAAUCCUUAAAAUUUUAGAUUACCAAAGUCAAAACUUAUCUAAAAUGGGGCAGGUACCAAAGUUGGUGCCUUUAUCAUGCUUUUUCUUCUUCUUCCUCCACAGGAGUUUUUUUAUUAUUUAUUUAUAUAUUUUUUUACACAUUAAAAAUUAAUUAUAUAUAUUGGCAUAUUGUAUAUGUAUGUCAUGUUUACAUUACUUACAUAUUAUAAUAUAUUUUAUAUAGCUUGUCAUAGUUAUUUAAUAUAUUCGUUUUAUUGUUUAUGUUUGAGGCUCGUGAUUAUCCUCCUAAUAAUAUUUGAAUUUGCGUUCAUUCUUUAAAAGUAUAAUGUGACUUACUACUACCCUCAACAUUUAUAUUCAUCUUGAAUUUUACAUAAUUUCUCAUAUUCAUUUAAUAUGUAUAUUUACAUUAUUUUUUUCUUCGGAGUACCAUAAAUUUAAAUAAAAAUUGACAUGGUAAUGAUUCAUUUUAAGUGAGAGUUUAACAUAUUUGUUAUUUGUGUCAUGUAUAUAUAAUCUUGAUGGCAGCAGAACUAUGUGUUUUAAUUAUUUUACAUUAUUUUAUUAUGUAGGUUUUAAAAUAUUGGGAUAAAUCUCAAAAUUAUAUAUUAACUUUGAUUCAAUGUGCAAUUUGAUAAAUGAGCUUUGAUUUGGUGCAAUUAUACACGUGGAACUUUGAUUUUGAUUCAAAUGUAUAUAUGAAACUUUGAUUGUGGUAUAUUAACAUAAAAUGAUACUAUAUUAAUAAUUUGUGAGAAUUGGAUACAAUGAUACAUCAAUUUAUAUUUAUAUUGGAUAAAUAUAAUUGUAUGUGUAUGUAAUAUAUUAACAUAAAAUGAUACCAUAUCAAUAAUUUGUGAGAAUUGGAUACAAAUCAAAAUUUCAUAUAUAAAAUUGCACAUUAGACCAAAGUUCAUGUAUAGUUUUGAGAUUUAUCCCCAAAUUAUUUCAUAUAUUUAUAUUAAAAAAUUCCAUUUAUCCUCUUUCAUAAUAAUUUAAUUUUAAAUCUAAAUUUAUUUACUUAAAAUUAUAUUAUUACGCUAACAUAUAUUACUAUAAUGGAUUACGUGAUGUGACAGGUUGUUACAAAGGAGGUUGCCAUCGUGGAGCACUAGAAGAUCGUGUGUUGUGGGGUCCAUUAUGGUAUUCAUUUAGGCGGUACGGAGUUGUUAUGCACAAAUGAGUCCUAUUGAUUGCUCAAGAGAAUGUUCACACUGAAAAGCGAGUUGCUAGACCAUGGUGAGCAAGUAGCUAAGUAAAAGGGGAAGUGUUUCCCAUAUAAGCAACUGGUCUAUAGUAGGCUAGGAGGUAGAUUGAUUGAGGGCAAUCUAGAUGAGUGGGUAGAUGUAGGACAUUCUCUAUUGUCUAGAUGGAGUCUCCUAGAUGUGUCAUGUGUUAGGCCCGGGUGAUAGGUAUAACAAAAGUUCAUGUACAAGUAUUAGUCUUGCUUUUGCCAAUAGUCUUGUUUUAAUUUGCAAGUAUUUUUAGGGAUAGAUUUAUAGUCUUCCCUUUCAGUUUAGUAAAUACUUAGUUUUCUUGCUGAUUUUGCCCUUACUUUGGACUCUCAGGAUUGGUUUUCUUAUCAUGUUAUUUGCUUAUAGUCACUUUAGAUAUAUCGUGUUUGAGUCGUGACAAAAUCAGUUGUCAACAUACUAUAAUGUUCUAUUCUUAGUAUGUUGAAGUCUUUGUUUGUGUUGAUGGAACUUGUCCAUUAUCAGUGACAAUGAGUGUUUGUUGUAUCUUUAUUUUCUCCGAAUUGUGUGGUCCCAUUCAUGAAAUAAAUGAAUUAAUUUUUCUUUCACUUUUCUUCAUAUGAUAUAAAUUGUAUAAUAUAUAAAAUAAAUGAAAAACAAUAUAUGAUAAACUUAAAAAUUGGUCGAGUUGAGUUGAGCUUGAGCUUUGAAUAUUAAAGCCUAAAUCCAACUCAUAUUUUAAACGAGUCUAAUUUACCCAAACCCAAUUUAAGCAUAAUAUUUUUGUCCAAAUCCUCUUAAAUUUUGAAUGAGCUUUUGGACUUGAACGAUUUACUCUUGAACAAAUCUGAUAUUUUUUAAAUAUUUUAUACAACAUUAUUCGAGUCAUAUUUUGAAUAAAAUCUUUUGUAAUAGAAUGGCUUGCUACUAUGGAUGGUGGAACCAGGGUUUGCUGAAUUUACUACCUCCACACCAUAUCCAUAGAAACUAAUAGCAUUCCAUUAUCCACUGCUUAUAAAGUAAUACCAAUAUAAUAAAAUUUAUGCUAAAAUCAAUUUAAUGUUUUUUUAAAUAGGAUUUGUAGUCGAAUUGGAUAGGUUAUUAGUUUGUUGGUCCAAUGAUUAAAAAUUAUUAAAAUUUAAAAAAGUUAAAAUAGAGUUUCGAUUCAUUUAAUUUUUCAUAGGUUGAAUCGGUUCAUAUCAAUUUUCAAUCUAAUCAAUUCAAAAUCACUCUUCGAACCAAUACUCUGUUGGCUUUUGAUCUAAUCGAUCGAUCAAUCCGAUUCAAACAAGACUGAAUCAAUAGAUAAAAGAUGAGAAUAAUUCUUAACAACAACCUGCAAAUUAUGUGAUUAAUUAUAUCUCAAAUUGAUCCAACAUAAAACAGAUAAAAAGAAAAGGUUUCAACAACUCUUCCAAAACAUAUUAUGUUUUAAUGAUCCCACACCAUGUUAAUGAGUUGUGUACUGCACCUUCCUCGAUGGGCAAGCAUAUUUCCCACAUGGGAUUCCCACAAGGAAUCACAGCUUCUUUACUGCAACAACAUGGAAAAAAAAAACUUGAUGGAAAUAAUUUAAGAUCAAAAUUAAACACCAAUAUAUACACACAUAGAAAAUAAAGAGAAACUUAGAGCUAACAUAUAUAUACACACAGACAUACACAUACAUACAUUCGGUAUUUCCAGCGUUUUGUCCAGUUCUUCUUCUCUUCUACUUCUUGCAUGUAAAAGUAAAAUUCCCAUGCCGAUCACCGGUCCCUGUACAACAAAACUUUAAAAGCAAUGAACUAUAUACAUAUACGUUAGUUUUUUGAUUGGAAAUGAGACCCUUUCAUUUCUCUUUUCACACACUCGCAUUGAACAACAAUGGAGGGGAAAUAGAGUAAGAAUUAGCUCAUUGAUCCUUGUUUUAGCUUAUUUUAAGAUGGAUGAUUGAAAUUUGAUUAUGAUAAGAAUAUAAAAACAAAUUUGAGGUUUUCUUUUAUGUUUUUUUUUAUUGCUUUUUAAGUAUUGUUUUCAACAGCCCAUAUAUAAGUUGAAAGUGAUCAACUUUAAAGGGUCCCAAAACCUGAUCAAUACCCCAGACUUUAUAAUUGUAGAUGUCCAUCCAUCAUUCGGAGUGCUUAAGAGGCUUAAACUUUUGAAUUUCAAAGACUGCAGAAGUCUUAGGAGUCUUCCAACCAGAAUUGAAGUGAAAUCCCUUGAAACAUUGAUUCUUUGGUGUUGCUCAAAACUUCAAAGGCUUCCAGAUAUCGAUGGGAAAAUGAAAUGUUUAAAAACUCUUAAUCUUUCUGGUUAUUAUAGAGUUGAAAAUUUACCAGAGAAUUUGCAGCAAGCGAAGUUUUUAGAAGAGCUCGAUUUAAGUGAAACAGCCAUAACAGAGCCACCAUACUUCACUUUUCAAUCUAAAAAUCUUAAAUUUAGUGGGUUUGGCCUGCCCUACAGGCAUUGACUGCCUUAGAGCCACUGACUGCUACAGAUUGGCUGAGAACAUCAAUCCAUUAACAUUGCUAAUUAUUAAAUACGUAAAAUACAAACCGUCCAACAUUUUUAAUUAUUACUUAUAAUUAAAGUAGACUCCACUUUGCCAACUCUCACCUUCUUGGAAACAACAUCCAUCGCUCAUCUUUGACCCCUAUGCUCAUAUACUUACUUUUUCUAGUUUCUUUGUGGAUAUUGGGCGAUCUAUUAUCUGAUUUUGAACACCAGAUUGAGAUAUUCUUCUCCUUUCAUACAUCCUCAUGUUGUCCUUACCAUCAACUUCUUCCUCCAUUUCUAAAAAGAAAUAUGAUGUUUUCUUGAGUUUUAGAGGUGAAGUUACUCGCAAAAACUUCACCGAUCAUCUCUAUGCUGCUCUAAAGAGGAGUGGGAUCGUCACUUUCAGGGAUGAUCCAAAGCUGGAGGCCGGCGAAGAGAUCGCGCCAGAACUCUUUAAAGCAAUUCAGCAAUCAAGGUGCUCGGUAAUCGUUUUUUCACAAACUUAUGCCUUUUCAAGUUGGUGCUUGGAGGAGCUUGCUGAGAUUGUUAAACAACAUAACAACGACGGCCAUAAAGUGUUUCCAAUUUUUUACGAUGUUGAUCCAUCUGAUUUAAGAAAACAAAAAGGGAAAGUGGAAGAAGCCUUUGCCAGACAUGAAGAGAGAUACAAAGAAGAAAGUGAGAAGAUCCAAAGGUGGCAAAAUGCUUUAAUUCAAGUGGCUGCAAUCGAGGGAUGGCAUUUAAAUAACAGGUAAUUCUUUCUUUUCUUCUCUAUUUUCUAGUUUUUUGGAUAUAUAUAUGUAUGUAUGUAUAACUUUUUUUUUUUCUAAUCCUAUGUGUUUAAUUGAAAAGUGUCAUAUUUCAAUAAAAGAGCAAAUUUUGUCUUCUGGCUCCGCAACAGAUCUUGCUUUCUUAUUCUUGGUUCUUGUUUGCUUCCAAACUAUAUUAUGUUUCAUGAUUCAUUGAAAAAGAAAGUGCAUUCGAAACAUAUCAACAAAAUUUUACUCAAAACAUUAAAAUUUCAUUUUUUUUAGGCAUGAAUCAGAAUUUAUUAGAGACAUUGUUAUGAAGAUAUCAGCAAAACUAUGUCAGACAUAUCCAGUUACUCAUAGCGACUUGGUUGGUAUUAUUGAACGCUUGGAGGAUUUGUAUUUAAAAAUAAACAUUGGGGAAGAUGAUGUCCGCGUUAUAGGAAUUAGCGGAAUGGGUGGCAUCGGUAAAACGACACUCGCAAGAGUUGCUUACACUCAAAUGUCACCUCAUUUUGAAGGUAAAAGCUUUAUUGCUGAUAUUCGAGAAGUUUCAGACAAAUGCGGACUAGUUUCUUUACAGAAACAACUUCUUUCACAGAUCUUUCAUGGUGAAUGCUUCAACUUCUUUGAUGUUCAUGAAGGGAGUGACAUAAUUAGCCAUGGGUUGUCUCACAAAAAGGUUCUUGUUGUUCUUGAUAAUGUUGAUAACAUACAACACUUAAAAUGCUUGGCUGGAAGGCACGAUUGGUUCGGAUUAGGAAGUAGAAUCGUUGUAACAACAAGAGAAGAACAUCUGCUUCGAUCUUGGCCAGUUGAUGAUAUGUAUGAGCCCACAACAUUGAAUCCCAAAGAUGCGCUUCAACUUUUCAGUCUGAAAGCUUUUCAUAGUGAUACACUGCAGAAAGAUGAUUUCAUUGAGCUUUCUAAACAUGUUGUAAAUUAUGCUGGUGGACUCCCUUUAGCUCUUGAAGUUUUGGGUUCCUUUUUGUGCGGUAGAGAUGCGACUUAAUGGAGAAGUGCGAUUGAAAGACUUAAAAGAGAUUCUAAUAAAGAAAUUCUCGAUAAACUUCGAAUCAGUUUUGAUGGACUGGAAGAAAGGGAGAAGAAUAUAUUUUUAGAUAUAGCAUGCUUCUUCUAUGGGGAGAGGAAAGAUUUUGUAAUCAAAGUAUUAGAUGGUUGUGAGUUUAUUCUUGAUAUCGAAAUUGAUGUUCUCAUUAAAAAUCUCUUGUAAAAGUCGAAAAAUACAACAGAUAUUUGAACAUGCAUGAAUUGUUGCAAGAAAUAGGAAGAAUAAUUGUUAAAGAAAAAUGUGUUGAUGAACUUGAAAAAUGUAGCAGAUUGUGGGAGGAAAGGGACGUCCAUCAUGUCCUAACAAAAAACACAGUAAGUCAUUCAACAAAAGUUACAUACUAUUUCUUUUCAAUCCUACAUUAUUCACCAUUUAUUUUAUUUUCUUAUUGUCUGUUCUAGAUUUUUUUUAGGCUACAAAAAUAAUUGAAAGCAUAAUCAUCGAUAAUAAAAGGUAAGAAGACACACAUAAACUUAUAUAGUACUAUAAAUAAUUAUUAUUUUUAAAUAUGAUAAAAAAAAACUAUACCAAAAAUUUUGACAUUCAAUAUUUCAAUGUUUAAUUAUGAAAUUUAUCUAGCAACAUAUUUACUUUUUAAAAGAGAAAUGUAUGUAUUUUUGAAAUAUUAAUGGUAUAUUUUUUUUGAGAAAAUUAAUGGUAUAUAUUUAAUGUACUAAAAGUGUAUAUCAACAAAUUAGGUUAUAACAUGUCAUCAAUUUUUUUUAAUGAAAAUGGUUUCAUUUUUAAUUAUGUGUCAUUGUUUGGUUCAUUAACUUGUAAAUUAUGCAUUGUUUGCUAACCAAAUAUAAAUGAACAUAUUAAUUCAAUUUUUUAGGAUUAGGUAAUUUAACAUCGGAUGUGAUUGCUAGACAUAAGUAUCUCUUUAAUAUGGGCAUAUUCAAAAAAAAUUUAAAAAUUAUUUUUUUUACGUAUUUAAAAGGUUCUUAAAGGAUCAUAUCUUAGUACCCAUAUACGAAUGUGCAUUAAAUAUAAGUAUUGGAUACGAGUACUUAAAAAACAAUAUCGAUGCAACAUUUCUUUUAGAUAUUGAAUGCUUUUGUAUAUUUUGAAGCUCAUUUUUGUUUUGCUCAUGGAUAUUAGGGAAUCGAAUAAGAUGCUUAAUUUGAGUGUGGAUACCUUCUUGAAGAUGAAAAAACUGAGAUUGCUCAAAGUGCUUUGCCUUUCAAAUUGUGAUGAUCUCAAAUAUCUUUCUAAUGAACUACAACUUUUAGAUUGGACAGGAUACCCUUUAAGAUACUUACCUUCAAGCUUUCAACCGGACAACCUUGUCGCAUUUCUUUUACCAUGUAGUCACAUUCAAAAACUAUGGAAGGGAAAUAGAGUAAGAAUUAACUCAUCUUAUACUUGUGUUUUAGCUUAUUUAAUUAUAAAUUAUUAAACUUUGAUUAAGGUAAAACAAAAAAACAAAAAUGAGCAUUGUUAUGUUUUCUCAUUUGUUUCUAAUUUAUUAUAGUCUUCAACAUCCCGUGUUUAACUUGAAAAUAAUGAACCUCAGAGGGUCUCAAAACCUGAUCAAGACACCAGACUUCACAACAGCAGCAAAUCUUGAAGUUUUGAUUUUGGAAGAUUGUACCAAAUUAGUGGAUGUUCAUCCAUCAAUCGGGGUGCUUAAGAGCCUUAAACUAUUGAAUUUAAGAGAUUGCAAAAGUCUUAGGACUCUUCCAACCAAAAUUGGAAUGGAAUCUCUUGAAACAUUAAUUCUUUCGGGUUGCUCAUGUCUUGUAAGAUUUCCGGAUAUUAUUGAUGGGAAAAUGGAAUGUCUAAAAACUCUAGAUCUUUCCGGUUGUUAUAGAGUGGAAAAUUUAUCGGAGAAUUUGAAACAAUCGAAGUUUUUGGAAGAGCUCGACUUGAGUGAAACAGCCAUAACAGAACCACCAUCCUUCAUUUUUCAAUUUAAAAAUCUUAAAGUUCUGUCUUUCAAUGGGUGCAAGGGUCCAUCAUAUAAGUUAAUACCAAAUUUGCCUUCUCUUUUCAAGGUAAUCCAAGGAAGAAGGACGAAUCCCAUGGCUUGGAUGUUGCCUUUGUUAUCAGGUUUGAGUUCUUUAAGAGAGCUAAAACUAAGGGACUGCAAUCUUUGUGAAGGAGAUAUUCCAUCAUCAGCAUACCUGCAUCUCUUACUCGACUCUCGAAGAUUGCAAAUCUUAUAUUGUCAAAUUGCAACAUGUGCACUUUUGGUGAAGCAGAUACUCAUAGUGAUAUUUCUGGUCUAUCCUCUUUGAGUUAUCUUAAUGUUAGUGGUAACAAUUUCAUCAGCAUACCUGCAUCUCUUACUCGACUCUCAAUGCUUCAUGAACUUGACUUGUCAAAUUGCAACGUGUGCACUCUUGGUGUAGCAGAUAUUCAUAGUGAUCUUUCUGGUCUAUCCUCCUUGAUACAUCUUGAUCUUAGUGGUAACAAGUUCAUCAGCAUUCCUUUGGCUCUUACUCAACUUUCCAGGCUCAGAUUGCUUAAAUUGUCAGGUUGUAUUAGGAGAUAAAGAGGUGUUGGUUAGCUGUUAUGCAUGCUGUUAACAGUUAGUUAGGUAAGGGCAGUUGUAACUGCUGUUGACUCACUGUAUAUAUACACACGUACUUUGCAUGAGAAAAUAAUAAGAAGAAAUGAUAGACGAAGUUUUAUCUAGUAUUCUUGGAUGAUUAGCAUGGUAUCAAGAGCCAGUUGAAUCUUACUGAUUUUCUGGAAAAAAAAGGGGUGCCUCAUGGCCACUGAUGCAGUAGGUGAAACUCCCCGUCACUCGUCCAACACCAGAGAAGCUGAACACUCACAAGGUAAUGGUGCUCAAGGCCCGACUGAAGUGCACUAUUUCUCCAAGCAUGAUACAAUAAAGCUUGCGUCGCACAACUACCUUUUGUGGAAACAUCAGCUCUUGCUGAUUCUUGAAGGGUAUGGACUUGAAGGAUAUGUACUAGGUACCACUUCCUCCCCUCCUCAGUUUAUUGAUGGUCCUGAUGGUCAGCAAAUUGCGAAUCAAGAUUUCAUCGUUCAUCGAAAGCAAGAUAAGUUUCUUGCCUCUUGGCUUUUAUCUACUAUUACGGAUGAUAUUUUGGCUCAUCUUACAACCGCCAAAACUAGUUGUGAUCUGUGGAAUGCGAUUGAAAGGAAAUUUAGUGCUAAAUCAAACAUAAAAAUCUUGAGCAUGCGGCAUGCUUUAUACUCUCUCAAGAAGUCCAAUCUUUCUGUUAAAGAGUAUAUGUCGAAAGUUAAGCAGCUCAGUGAUGAUUUGACUGCGGUUGGGAGCUUUAUAUCUGAACAGGAACAAGUGAGCGUUAUAUUGGCUGGACUUUCUGUUGAAUUUGAUUCCAUUAGAGUUCUAGCUACUGCAACUCCAUUAUCUCUUGAUUUGUUGAGUGAAUUGUUACUUGACUGUGAAGUACGUCAAUUAGAGCUGUUAAAAGACACCUCCUGUCAAGCAAAUUUGGCAACUCAUCAGCAAAAUAGCAAUGAUACGGGUAAACAAUCAGCAGACUCUGCUGGGUAUUCUCAAGACUCCAAGCAGAAUGAUAGAGGACAGGGCCUUGGGUGGUCUCGUGGUCAUUUUCGGGGAAAUGGACGAGGAUGGUCACGUUCGAGGCCGCAAUGCCAGUUGUGUGGAAAGAUAGGCCACAUGGUUCAAACAUGUUACCAUAGAUUUGAUGAGUCGUUCUCUGGGAAUGCAGGAGCUGGUACGGUUCAAGUUAAUUGUCAUCAGUUGCACGCUUCCAGUUGUGUGCCAGCUGCUCCAACAUGUCAAGCGAUGUCUCACUGCUAUCACACAAAUCCUCAGUCUUCCUCUGGUUCUUUUCCACCUCAUCCAUCUUCACAAAAUAGUUCUAUCUGGUACCCCGAUUCUGGAGCGACGAACCAUAUAACACCAGAGGUGUCUAAUCUUGCGGCUCCCUCUUCAUAUACAAGUAAGAGUUGUGUCACCAUGGGUAAUGGUGAUUCGGUGCCUAUUGCUCAUGUUGGUUCAACCGUUCUUUCGACUGGAACCCGACUCCUAAAGCUUCAGAACGUACUGCAUGUUCCUGCAGUGUGCAAAAAUCUAAUGUCUGUGGGUCAGUUUGCUAGAGAUAACAAUGUUUAUUUUGAAUUUCACCCUGUUCUAUGUUUUGUGAAGGAUGUUCAGACAGGGAAGACACUUCUCGAGGGCCGCAUGCAUGAUGGCCUUUACAAAUUUCGGUUCGCAAAGCCUGUGUCAGCUUCAGGUGCUAAAUCUCCAGAGUCAAAUUCAACAGUAUUGAAUACUGCCAACUCUAUUCAGUGUGCACCUUCCUCUUUGUGGCAUGACAGACUAGGUCACCCAUGUACUGAGGUUCUUAAACGAGUUUUAAAAACUUGUAAUAUUCCAGUUAAACAGAAUUGUGUGCAACAUAUGUGUACAGCUUGCCAACUAGGUAAAGCUCACAAACUUCCGUUUACAGCAUCUAAAACAAUGUAUUCCUCUCCUUUUGAACUCAUUGUAUCUGAUGUAUGGGGCCCUGCCUAGUUACCUUCAAAUGAUUUUCGUCAUUACGUUUCGUUUGUGGACAUGCAUAGCAGAUUUACCUGGGUCUAUUUUCUUCAAAACAAAUCAGAAGUCGCUCGGUGUUUUAGAGAUUUCUAUCAGCUGGUUAACGUGCAAUUUGAUAGGUCUAUUAAAAUGCUACAAACUGAUGGUGGUGGUGAGUAUCGAGUACUAGCCCGUGAGUUAUCCUCUCUUGGUGUCCAACACAGGAUUGUGUGCCCCUACACUUCGGAGCAAAAUGGGGUAGCUGAGAGAAAACAUCGACAGCUUAUUGAUAUGGCUUUGUCACUAUUAGCUCAUGCAAGUCUACCGUUGAAGUUUUGGUUUUAUGCUGUUAUGCAUGCUGUUCACCUAACCAAUCGACUACCAACUCCGGUCCUCGGACAGACUAGUCCCUAUGAGGUUCUCCACCAAGUCAAACCAAGCUAUGAGCUCUUAAGGGUCUUUGGGUGUGCGUGCUUCCCAAAUCUCAGGCCUUUUCAGCCUCACAAGCUGAGUUUUCGGUCUCAACAAUGUGUAUUCCUUGGGAAUGUUCCUAAUACCAAGGGCUAUCGGUGUCUCGCAGAAGAUGGCAGCAUGUUUGUGUCUCGACAUGUAAUUUUUGACGAGAAAAAAUUCCCUUUCAAAGAUGGGUUCCAAACUAAGGCCGUCUCACAAAGCUCGCGGACGGUACCUCAUCGGUCUAUUCUCCCAAUAGUUUCAGCUGGUGGUUCGCAUGUUCCUGCUACGACAAGGGCAUCAGCUAGCCCAUCUACCAUAGGCAUCUCUCCUGGGCAGUCUCAACACAAUCCUACAGAGUCUCCGGCUCUUAAUGACACAAAUGGUCCACCUAAUAACUCUGACCUAUCUCCAUUACUACCUACUCGAGUCAAUCAUCACCCCAUGCAGACACGUUCAAAAAAUGGGAUUUUUCGACCUAAAGUGCUGGCUUCAGUCGUAGAUGAAGUUGAACCUACCACCAUUCAUGAGGCGUUUCAAAGUCCAGCUUGGACUACAGCAGCCGAGAAAGAGUACAAUGCCUUGAUUUCCAAUCACACCUGGGAGCUAGUUAGUUUACCUGAAGGUCGACGAGCCGUUGGAUGUAAAUGGCUCUUCCGUAUCAAGAGGCAUGCAGAUGGGUCUGUUGCUAGAUACAAGGGCAGACUCGUGGUCAAAGGGUACCUCCAGGAAGCCGGUGUUGACUUUCAAGACACUUUCAGUCCCGUCGUCAAACCCACCACAAUCAGAGUCGUCCUUGCCCUGGCCGUUUCUCACCAGUGGUCUCUUCGACAAGUUGACAUAAACAAUGCCUUCCUUAAUGGAGACUUGAGCGAGGAGAUUUAUAUGUCACAUCCACCAGGUUUUGAACAGUAUGGCUUACAUGGAGAGCCUCUGGUCUGCAAGCUAAAGAAGGCUCUCUAUGGUCUCAAACAGGCUCCACGAGCCUGGUUUCAAAAACUAAGGGAAUUUUUGGUGACCAUGGGGUUCGACACUUCCAAAGCGGAUAACUCGCUCUUCAUUCGACAUCGUGGGGAUGCUUUGUUGUACGUUUUAGUGUAUGUCGAUGACAUCAUCGUGACAGGCAGUGACUCACAGGAAAUUGAUAAGUUUGUCAAGACACUUGAUGGUCAGUUUGCGUUGAAGGACCUUGGCUAGUUGAGCUAUUUCCUUGGUAUUGAAGUCAAGCACACGUCGAAUGGGAUAGUUUUGUCUCAAACUAAAUACAUUAGAGACUUACUUCAAAAAGUAGCUAUGGACAGAUCCAAUGCUCUCCCAACACCAAUGGUUGCAAAUAAUCGUCUUACUGCUGAGGAAGGAAGCCCCCUUGAAGAUGAACAUCAGUAUCGCAGCAUCGUAGGAGCCUUACAAUAUAUCGUGAUCACAAGGCCUGACAUCGCCUAUUCAGUCAACAAGGUGUGCCAAUUCAUGCACAAACCACUAACCGGUCACUUCAAAGCAGUCAAGAAGAUACUACGGUAUUUACAAGGAACAAUGAAUUACGGAUUACAGUUUACUCGGGCUUCCAAAUUCCUUCUUGAAGGAUAUUCGGAUGCGAGUUGGGGAUCAGACGUUGACGAUCGAAGGUCCACCUCGGGGUAUUGUAUCUUCCUUGGAGGAAAUCCGGUCUCGUGGAGCUUGAAAAAGCAACACGUUGUGUCUCGUUCCACAACAGAGGCGGAAUAUAGGAGUGUUGCACAUGUCACUGCUGAAAUGACGUGGAUACAAUCCCUAUUAACUGAAUUGUGUGUUCCAAGCUUACCAAAGGCACUAAUUUGGUGUGAUAGUUCAGCAGCAAUAGCAGUUGCAGGAAAUCCAGUCAUGCACUCCAAGUUCAAGCAUGUGGAGCUAGACAUUUUCUUUGUUAGAGAAAAGGUGGCAGCUGGAGUUGUUCAAGUUGGUCAUGUCCCAGGGACCCAUCAGCUAGCAGACAUACUAACAAAGCCUUUGUCAGCCUCAGGAUUUAACCGGUUUCGGGAGUUACUUCGAGUGGUUAACACAAACUAAGGGGUUUUAGUUAGUCAGGAAAUGGAUGAGUAUGAGGAAUAUUAGGAGAUAAAGAGGUGUUGGUUAGCUGUUAUGCAUGCUGUUAACAGUUAGUUAGGUAAGGGCAGUUGUAACUGCUGUUGACUCACUGUAUAUAUACACACAUACUUUGCAUGAGAAAAUAAUAAGAAGAAAUGAUAGAUGAAGUUUUAUCCAGUAUUCUUGGAUGAUUAGCAGGUUGCAAGAUGCUUAAAUCGUUGCCUGAGCUAACAACAAGAAUAGGAAAUGUGAUAAUAGACGAUUGUUUUUCACUUGAAGUAGUUGCAAGUCCAUCAAAAAUAUGCAAUUUAGUGGGUGGUGAUGACAUUCGUGCCAUUAACUGCUUCAAAUUGGUUGAGAAAAUCAAUGCAUUAGCACUGCUGAAAGAACAUAUUAAGGUCUAUUAAUCUAUUUUUUCUCCCUUACAAAAUCUCAUACUUGAGAAUUUAUGGUUUUAGUUACCAGACGACUUGUGUUUUAUUUUGCAGGCACUUCCAAAUUCUAGAAAAUGGUUUGAUAAUGGCUUCUUUGAUAUUAUGAUGCCCGGAAGUGAAAUUCCAGAAUGGUUUAGCCAACAAAAAAGUGACUCUUCAAUUAAGAUACCCCUACCUAUCAACCUUCGGAAAGAUAGUCAAUGGAUUGGAGUUGCUUGCUGCUGCAUUUUUGUCAAUAAUGAUGCUUCAAGGAAUAAGAAGUUUAUCAGCUGUGAAGGAUCGAUUUUUCGAGGUAGAAAUUGUCGACCAAUUUAUUGGAGAAACCGGUGGGUAGGUCGAUACUUUCACAAGCCCAUAAUGAAAGAUCACCUUUUUCUUCAUUAUUUUCCGCGUGAUGAAUUAUAUCCAUUUUCCUUGGAGGAUAAAUAUGGUGACUGUGAAACGAAUAAUUUAUGGACAACAGAUUGCUUAGAUCAAAUAGGUGAUGAGCUUAAGUUUUGUUUCCAUACCAAAUUUGGACCAAAUUACGGUUGUGUUAAGGUGAAGAAGUGUGGUGUUAGAAUAGUGUAUGAGAAAGAUUUGGAAGAAAUGAAAGAGUUGCAGUGCCAUACCACUCAAUCUUCUCCAAAUUUUGAACACAUCCACCAACACUCUGCUCACAACCAUGGAUCAGUAGGUAGCACUUCUCACAUGAAACGGAAACGUAAUAUCUAUGAGGAAACGGAGGAAGAAGAGCCGCAACCAAAACGGAUGCAAAUUUUUUUCAAAUUUGUAAUGGGCCAAUCAAGAAAGAAGUAUUAACUGUGGUAAACUACUUAACCAACUUUGUCCUAUUAAUUUUUUUUACACAUCUUGUAUUUCAUUUAAACAAUUAUUCUAGACUUGUUUUGCAUAUGAGAUAUGAUCCUUCCAUUAUAUGCCAAAACAUUUUAAAAAAUUUUAUUCAUAUUCAUAUUCAACAUGUACAUAUCUCAAAUGUUAAUAACAUUGUUUUUUAUACCAUUUAAAAUUUUAGUCACUUAAUUCAUUCCUUUUUACAUUAUCGAAAUGUGUAUAUUUUAAUUGGUUUCACCUUUUUUUUAUUAAAAUUUUAUUUCAACUAUAUAUAUAUAUAUUCACUUACAUCUAUAUUUUAUUUGUAGGUUGAAGAUGAAGCAAAUUAAAACAAAAUUAUGAGGCAAAAAUGGAGACGAAGCAAGUAAUGAUAAAAUUGUCCACCAUAACCUCUUUUCCAUCGGAGCUGUCAAAAUGUGACAAACAAAAUUUAUCAUCGACAACAUGAACUUCAAGAAAGUGCAGCAUAAAUUUGAGGACUCUCAGAGACUCCAACAACAGAAUCACAUCUAAGAUCAGCAAGCUAAAAAUUUUAGCAUUCUAGUAGUUCAUGUCCUAAAUUUCUUGCUAUGUUAGGGGUCACAAGUGAUAGCAUCAUCAAUUUCUCGUAAAUAAAAUCCUUGGGAAUGAAACAAAAAUCUGUUAUUUGAAGGUAAAAAGAAUAUUCCGAAAGCCAAAAAGAAAUUUCUAAAUCAGGUCAUACAUACUCAAUCAGCACAUAGUGCUUAUAAAGUGUAGGACAUUCUCCCAAAUCGAGAACUAAAGAAAAACAUGAUGAUUUCUAAGAAACUAUAUCCAAAUUGUUGGUGUUAGGAACAAAAAAUGAACAAGUUCAGCUUGUGGCUUGAGCAGCAAGGCUCAAUGCUUGUUGAAGAAACAAUAGAACUUGAGGAAAAAUGAAAAGAAAAGAAAAGAAAACAAAGAAAAGUGAAGAGUAUUGGAACAAAAACUGAUAGAAUUCAUUCAAAUUUUAUCAAUGGCAUAAUGUCAAUACAUAAACCAAGCAAUUUGCUUGUCAAAAUCAGUAUAUGGUCACCUAAUUGCUACCUACUACCACUAAUAUAUUGAAACUUGUAAAAACAAGCUUGUACACUUAAACAAAGCUGAGUUAACAGCUCAUUCAUCAACAAAUUACAUCAACCAUCAACCUAACAUAGUUCAAAAUGAACUAAAAUACAUUACAUCAACUUAAGAUUACAAAAUAAACAAAAUAGGAACAGUUAUGCUUGCUCCAACAGCUUCCGCAUGGCUCGAUCUUCAUGGCCUGCUUGUUGUCUGCUUCUUUGCUACAUGCUGACCAACCUUCAACACUCCUCCUUGGUUAGCAUGUUGCAAACUCCUAAUUUCUUCCUUAAGUGCUCAAAUUAACUUUGUUACACUAAGGGCCUUGGUCAAAAUGUCAGCAAGUUGAUCCUCUGAAUUGCAAUGAACCAAUUUCACUUCUGAGCUUGCUCCAUUUCUCUAACAACAUGGAGUUGAAUGCUGAAAUGUUUUGUUCUUCCAUGGAACACUGGAUUCUUUGCAAUUGCAAUAGUAGAUUGAUUGUCACAAAAGAUCUUUGUUGCUUCCCUUUGAUGCACAUUCAAGUCAGCCAUAAUUUUUCUUAGCCAAAUGGCUUGGUUGACAGCACUUGCUGCUGCAACAUAUUCAGCUUCAGCAGUAGAUUGAGCCACUAGUGUUUGCUUCUUUGAACUCCAAGAAAACAUGGCUGAACCAAGAUUGAAAGCAUACCUUGAGGUGCUUUUCAUGUCAUCUAUCGAACUAGCUCAGUCACUAUCAGUGUAGCCAACUAACUUCAGGCUUUUAGCUUUGUUGUACAUCAAGCCAUGGUUCAAUGUACCCUUGACAUACCUGAGCACUCUUUUUACAGCUUGAAAGUGCUUCUCAUUGCUGCAAUGCAAGAACCUUGAAAGCAAACUCACAGCAAACAUAAUGUCAGGCCUAGUGUCUGUCAGAUACAACAAACAACCAACUAAGCUCCUAUAGGUUAUUUCACAAACCUUCUCAAAAUUACCAUGACUAGAAAGCUUCUCUCCAACAGCAACUGGAGUAUUGGUUGCUUUGCUGUUUUGUAUUGAGAACUUAGUCAGAAUCUUGGAGGCAAAUGCUUUCUGAUUUAGGAAUAUCCCAUUGUGCAUCUGUGUCACUUGCAUGCCAAGAAAAUGGGUCAUCCUUCCUAGAUCAGACAUCUCAAAAAUCUGCUGCAUUUUGGUCUUAAAAUCAAUCAGGAUUGCUUGGUCUCCUCCUGUUACCAACAAGUCAUCAACAUACAGGGACACAAUGAUCUGUGUUUGUACCCCUUCUUUCUUGACAUACAAUGUUGGCUCACUCUUGCUUCUCUCAAAUCCCAAACUGAUCAGAUAGCUAUCAAUUUUGCUAUACCAGGCCCUUGGAGCCUAUUUCAAGCUAUACAAGGCUUUCUUCAGUUUGUAGACCAUAUGUUCUUUACCAGCCACUUCAAAGCCCUGAGGUUAGGGGUGAGCAAAACUCGAUUCGACUCGAAAAAAUCGAAAAAAAUUCAAAUUUCGAGUUAAACGAAUCGAGUUAUUCGAGUUAAUUGAGUUAUUCGAAUCAACUCGAAUUUUUUUUUCAAAUUUCGAGUUCGAAUCGAGUUGAGUUUUCGAAUUCGAAUAAUUCGAAUAAUUCGAAUAUCAAACUAUAAUAUUUUACAUUUUUACCCCAAACUCCCAAACCUUUUUACUUUUCCCUCAAAACUUUUACUCCUUCUCACUUUCCCUCAAAACUUUUGCUCCCCUCCCCUCCCAACCCCCCAAUCUACCCAAAAUCCAUUUCACACCAAAAUUUUACUCUCCCAUUUACUUGUUCUCAAAAUUUUACUCCCCAAAACCUUCAAAACCUUUUAUUUUCCCCCAAAAUUUUUACUCCCUCCCACUUUUCCCCUAAAACUUUUAUUCCCUUCCCAUCCCACCUCCCAUCUACCCCAAACCCUCCCCCCUCCAAAUUUUUUUUAAUAUUUUCCCUCCAAAAUUUUACUCCCACUUAUUUACUUUCCCUCAAACUUCUAUUCCCCAAAACUUUUUAUUUUCCCCCAAAACUUUUACUUCUCACCCUUUACUCUCAAAUAAAAAAUCAAAAUUAUCCAAAAAAAAAACUAAAUAUAAAUAGUAAUAAUUUUAUUUAUAUCUAUUAUUUAUAUUAUUAAAUUAAAUUUCACAUUUUAUAUUAUUUAUAUUAUUGAAUUAUUUAGUCAUAUUGAAUAUUUAUAUUAAAAUUGAGUUAUUAAUUAUGCCAUAAAAUAUCCGUGUUAAAAUUUUAUAUUGGUAUCAAUUUCACAUUUUAAAUUUAAAAUAACUUUUAUUAAAAAAAAUCAUAUUUUUACAUUUAAUAUAUUUUCUAAUUCCAAAAUACAUAGUAACAAGAAUCUGAAGAUAAUUGAAACAAGUAAGUAAGCAAAGAAGCUAACCAAUAUAUAAAAAAUUAAUAAAUAAAUUAUGAGGUGAUGAAAGUUAAUCAAAAUUUGAUUAAGGUACACAAAUUUUAUUACGAUGGGUGACAAUGGUUACAAGGACCCAAAAUAAUUUUUUAAAAUUUAACUCGAAUAAAUAUAUUCGAUUCGAUUCGAUUUGAGAAAACUUCAAAUAAAGUUAGGAUGAUAAAAUGAGAUUCAAAAACUCGAUUAACUCAAAAAUUUUUGAUUCGAUUCGAUUCGAUCGAAUGCUCACCCCUACCUGAGGUUGUUCAACAUAGAUCUCUCCUUCAAGAAAUCCAUUGAAGAAGGCUGACUUCACAUUGAGCUGGUGGAUUUUCCACUGCAUUUGUGCUGUUAAGGCAAUCAGAAGCCUGAUGGUGCCAAGCCUGGCCACUAGUGCAAAGGUUUCCAAGUAAUCCAAACUAUACUUCUGGCUAAACCCCUUGACAACCAGCCUUGCUUUCAGCUUAUUCAAGCUCCCAUCAGCAUUAUGCUUGGCUCGAUAGACCCAUUUCACCCCAAUGAUCUUCCUUUUGGCUGGUCUUUCAACUAGUUCCCAAGUCUGAUUCUUCUCAAUCAUGCUGAUUUCAUCAUCCAUUGCUUGCUCCCACCCUUGCUGAGCUUCAACCUCUUCAAAGCAGCUUGGUUCUGCUAUGGCUACUUGAGCUCUUUCAUAAAUUUCAGCCAAAGGUCUAGUGCCCCUGACUGGUUCAUCAUUAAUGUCCAUUUCAAGACCAUUUUGAUCUAGCUCAGUUUGGUCUGUUACAAGGUCUUCAGAAACUACCUAUAGCUCAUUCUUUUCCCAACUCCAGCAUGACUUCUCAUCAAACACCACAUCUCUGCUUACAGACACUUUACUUGUUGAAGGAUCCAAGAUCCUAUAGCCCUUUUUGACUGUGUUAUAUCCCACCAAAAUACCAGGUCGAGCUCUUUUAGCCAGCUUAUCCCUUUUAACAGUAGGCACAUGUGCAUAGCAGAUAUAACCAAAGACCUUUAGGUGAGCCAAUGAUGGCUUGAAUCCAAACCAGGCCUCAAAAGGAGUUUUGUGAUCCAAGGCCUUGGUAGAAAGCCUAUUUUGGAUGUACACAGCAGUGUUAGCUGCCUCAACCCACAAGGUUUUAGGUAAAUUCUUCUCAAAUAGUAGUCAUCUGGCCAUAUCCAUCAAGCUCCUGUUCUUCCUCUCACUUACACCAUUUUGUUGAGGAGUAUAGGUGUUGGUGAGCUAGUGUUUGAUGCUUGCCUCAUCACCAAAAAACUGGAAUUGAGCUGAGGUGUACUCAGUCCCAUUGUCAGACCUUAUAGUCUUGAGCUUGCAGCCUGUUUCAGUUUCAGCACCAAUCUUGAACUUUGAAAACACUGAGCCUACCUCUGAUUUCUGCUUCAAAAAAUAAAUCCAGCAAAAUCUUAAAAAAUCAUCAAUAAACAGAAUGAAGUACCUGCUUCCAUUCAGUGACUUGAUCUUCAUAGGGCCACACACAUCAAUGUGGCCUGAUUUGAAGGAAAUGGGAGCCUAGCUUACUGUCCUAGCUGGCAUAUUUCACAAACCUUCUGUUUUUCAACUGAACCAAUGAAAUUUUUAGCCAAGUCAUCUCUGGAUAGCUGAUCCAUUGAUCUGUAGCUGUUGUGGUUGUAUAGGCAGUGUCUGAGCCAUUUGUCCAAUCAACAACAAAGCUCUUAUCAGCCAUAGUGACUGCCAUGAACUUGGAUCCACUUGGAUCACUGAUUUGGCACUCAUUGCCUUUGAACACUACAGAAUACCCUUUUUGUAGCUGUUGAGCUAUGCUAAGCAGGUUUCUAUCAAUUUCAGGUACCAACAACAUAUUCGAGAUGAGCUUGUUACCUGUAGGAGUGCAUAUCAACACAUCUCCUUUAUCUUCUGCCUUAAUAAAAUGACCAUUACCAAUAUUAACUUUGGUUUUGCAGCCUCUGUCUAAGGACUUAAAAAUGGCAGCAUUUUGUGUCAUGUGGUUUGUGCAGCCACUGUCCAAGAGCCAGCCAUUUGUAAGCUUCUCCUGAGGAGCUGAGCAUGACACAGCAAAAACUUGCUCCUCAUGGUCACUAUCUUCUUUUGCUACUCGAGCCUCAGCCUUUGGCUAUUGGAGUUGGUUCUGCUUUGGCUUGCCCUUGCUUUUGUAGGCCUUUUCAACAUGCCCCAUCUUUUUGCAAUAUUGGCAUUACACAUCUGUUCUAAACCAACAAUUUGCUUCUGGAUGACUAGACCUUUUUCAAUGCCUGCAGGGUUGGUCCCUUCUUUUUGCAGGAUCAGACUUUGGCUUAUCUCUCCAAGUCUUUUUGCCCUUGUAGGCAAAGGUGCUCAAGACAUGUUUGGUUUUUGCUUGAAAGGCACAUUCUAGGCGCUUCUCUAGUCUGCUAGCUCUUCUCUACUCUUGUGCAUAGAGAGCAUUGAUCAGCUCUGUCAGUGAGAUGUUGGUCAAGUCUCUUGAAUCUUCAAGGGAUGAAAUUUUUGCCUCAUACCUCUCUGGUAAGGUUGAAAUCACCUUUUCCACUAUCCUUGCUUCAUUGAACUGCUCACCAAGGAGCCUUAUGCUGUUUACCACAGCCAUAAUCCUGUCUGAGUACUGUUUGACAAUUUCUUCUUCCUUCAUUUUCAAAUUCUCAAAGUCCCUUCUUAGGUUCAACAAAUGUUGUUGCCUUGUCCUCUCUGUCCCUUGAAACUCCUCUUUUAAUUUGUCACAGGCCUGCUUUAGUGUUUCACAGGCCAUGAUCCUUGGAAAAAUCACAUCUGACACUGAGUUUUUAAUGCAAGAAAUGGCCUUGUGCCUUUUGGUCCUUUCAUCAGCAUGCUGCCUGAUCUGAGCCACUGUUGAAUUCGCUCUGAGUGGCUCUGGUUCAACAUCUUAGUUGACCACCUCCCACAGAUCGAAUGCCUGCAGAUAGGUUUUCAUUUUGACCACUCAUAUGUGAUAGCCUUCUCCAUUGAAGACUGGUGGUGCAGUUGGUGAGAAGCUUGAUGAGGCCAUUGUUUUGUAAAAUAGGUCCCUUAAGAUUAAGGCUCUAGAUACCAAUUGUUGGUGUUAGGAACAAAGAAUGAACAAGUUCAGCUUGUGGCUUGAGCAGGAAGGCUCGAUGCUUGCUGAAGAAACAAUAGAACUAGAGAAAAAAAGAAAAGAAAAGAAAGCAAAGAAAAGUGAAGAGUAUUGGAACAAAAACUGAUAGAAUUUAUUCAAAUUUGAUCAAUGGCAUAAUGCCAAUACAUAAACCAAGCAAUUUGCUUGUCAAAAUCAGUAUAUGGUCACCUAAUUGCUACCUACUACCACUAAUACAUUGAAACUUGUAAAAACAAGCUUGUACACUUAAACAAAGCUGAGUUAACAGCUCAUUCAUCAACAAAUUACAUCAAUCAUCAACCUAACAUAGUUUAAAAUGAACUAAAAUACAUUACAUCAACUUAAGAUUACAAAAUAAACAAAAUAAGAAUUGUUGUGCUUGCUCCAGCAGCUUCUGCAUGGCUCUAUAUUCAUGGCCUGCUUGUUGUCUCCUUCUUUGCUACAUGUUGACCAACCUUCAACACAAAUACAUGUGCAAACAUGAUAGUUACAACAGAAAAGACUACAUAAAAUGCCCCAACAACAACCGAAACUCUAAAGGGCGGCAUGAAAGUACAUUAAGUGCUAAUACAACAUGAUAAGUUGAUAACUUACGCAAGCAAGAACCAGACUUCAAUCCAAUAAAACCACACACCAGUAGCAAAGCAAAAUUAUUUUGAAGUCAGCUGAACUAAAACUUUAGAACUUUUAUAGAGAAAUUAAAUUGAUUAUGAUCUGAAUGGGAUUAUAUGUUGAAGGCUAGAAGUUUCAACCUAAAAUGUACUAAACAAUGCAUGGAUAUAAUUUCAAGACAUGAUACGUCAGCCAAUUAAGGUACAAAAGCAAGCAAUCAUACAUUUUUGCAAGUUAUUUGCACUCCAUUUACUUCUUAUAGAAAAAGAGAACGAAAAAUCAUAACAAUGCUCAAAAUAUAGUUGCAAGAUUCAUUCAGUUCAAAGGUGGUUGAAAUAGAGUUUGUAACAAACCUGAUUGCCAAGAAGGUUUCUGACACAUCUCGAGUGUUGGCUGAUACAGAAGCCAAAAAUCCUACAGGCUUGAGGAUCUUGGUUAUGACAGGUGCACUUAAAGAAUUAUCAAUUGGGGACCUAUGACUUGAACUGUCUGCUGCUAAACCAAGAUUUACGAUUUCCAUCUCUGCAUCUGUAAUUGCAUAGCCAACAUGGACAUUUGUAGCUUUUGGAGUCAAAUUAGGUCCAGAAGAGUCUGGGUCCCGUUUAAACCUCUUAACAGAACCAGACUUCCUUCUUUUAGCUCCCGUGUGACUCUGAACUGAUUCCCCACAGUCAACCUUUGGUAACCCAUAUACAGGUCCAUCACCUUCAGAAGCUUUGCCUUCUUGAAACCGAAUUGCAAGCUUAUCUGUAUUGCCCCCUUUAGAAGAGAAUGCACCUUUUAGCUCACUAAGUUUGGUAUCAUAAUCAUUUUUAUUCUUUGUCUCAUCAAUUUUCUUUGAACCGUUUCCAAAAUUGUUAUCCUUAAGCUGUCAUCGUUAUUUGUUUCAUUGAAAAGACCAAGAUGCUGGACGGGAUAAGCUCCAGGAAUUCCUUUGUUAGGAAGAUUACAAAGGCUAUUCCAUGGCCAUGGAAGUAUCCCGGUACAAAUGCAAAAAAUGAAUGUGGUAGAAAAGGAGGAACCACUAGCAUUUAUUGAGACCAAACGGUAGCAAUGAUUUCUAUUUGGUUAAAUUUUGAUGUUAGUUUUGUAUUAUUUAUAAAGUUAAAUUUAGUCCAUAUUCUCCAACUAGAUUAUCUUUAAUUCUUAUAUAUUUCGAAUUUUAAUUUUAAUGAAAACAAUAAUAGUUAAAUGUAUUUGCCACAUCAAAUUUUAAUGAAUUUAAUUUGCACCAUUUAAUCUUAUGUUCAGUUGAGCACUUUGAUCCACUAAAUCUUUCCUCUUUGUAUACCCUCCUCAUGCACAAGCAAAUGGCAACACCAACUAAUAUACACACACUUGCCACUGGAACCAUGAUCCAAACCCAUAGUUGAUUGCCAUUUCCUCCUAUAUCAGUAUCAGAAAACACCCACAAUUUCACACGGUUGAGCUCAGUUUCAUUGCUUGUUGAACCAAAGAAUCCCAUGAAAACCUUCUGCGGAAGAUAAGUAGAGAGAUUAGUAGGUUAAGAAAGCAUAAGUGUCUGGUUGUGCCCAAUGAAAAUUGAUAGGUUUCGGCCGUCAAAACAAAUAUAAACCUUUAAAUCCUGACCUCCGACUGAAAUAUGAACAUCGUAGUUGCUUAAAGAAACUUGCUUGGUCGAUUGGAUUCUGUUUAUGUUUAACCUAAUAUGGUUGUCAUCCAUAUCUUGCUCGUUGCUCUUCCUGGUGUCAAAUUCCACCGCCACCACACUGGCUUGAUUGAGAAGAACCAUUUGUGUUCUCAUUUACCAUCCCCAGCCACUGUCUUUGGCUGUUGUCCAGUAGGCUGGAGUUGUUUAUUAAAAAGGCAACACCUUCGCCACCACUAGAGGUUUGAUUGAGGAUAUUGAGGAUGAACUCGUAUUGAAAGAAGCAAUGGUGGUGUGGUUGCCUUUCCAAAGCCGAAAUGGUUUCUUAUACAGAGCUCGUCCAGAAAAAUGUUCCAUGGAACCUCCAUAACAUCUGGAGUAAGUUGGAUGGCUCCAAGAACUAUGUAAGAAUUCCUACUCAAGAUAAGCUGGCUUUCACCUUCUUUUUUGAAAGUUAAAAAAUUGAACUAAAAAGGCCUUCUAUUAUAUAUCAAAAGAUUUUAAAAUUUUUAUUCAUACUCAUAUUGAUAACAUAGUUUUUUAUACGUUUAAAAUUUUAGUCACUCAUUUUUACAAAAUGUGUACGUUUUGAUUGGUUUUACUUUUUUUUUAAUUUUAUUUUCAUUGUAUAUAUUCACUUACAUCUAUAAUUUAUUGUAGGUUGAAUUAAAUUUAAUCAACUUAAUACCAAAAUGUGGAAAGCAAUGAACAUAUUUUGUGACGAAGCAGGUAAUAAUAAAGUGAAUCCUUUGAUAAGGAUUGAUCAUAAUUUCAGCUGUGAAAUGAUAAAAUUAACAUAUUUUAAUCUCAUUCUUAAUGCGUUUUUGGAUGAGUAUUUAUGCAAAUUGGUGAAUUUGAUGCUCCUAAUCCUUUGAAUUCAUGUUCUUAUAUUUAGGUGAAUAUUAGAGAGCAGAAGAAGCGAAAAAUGAGCGAAAAUCAGAGAAAAAGAGCAAAUUUCAGGAGCCACACGGCUGGACACAUGCCCAUGUGCCGGCCCGUGUUGAUUUCGCACUUUGCUUCCCAAACACGUGGAAAAACAUAAUUUUUAGGCUUUCUAAACAUUUUAAAGUCUAUAAAUACCAAAUAGAAGAAGAGAUAGGGGAGCCACUAGAGAAGCUCGAAGAAAACACUUAAGGCACACCAUUGGAGUUAAUUCCCUAGAUACUUGGGAGGAUGAAACCUAUAACGAAUUCUAUUAUUUAAUAUCUAAUUUACAUGAUAAAUACUUUAUUCUUAUUCUUAAUUAUGCGUACUUAUUUCUUAUUUUAAUAUUUCUGGGAUAUUAAUUCAUGUUUAAUGUGCUUAAUUUAGUGGAGGAAAAGUCCCUGUUUAAGAGUAAAUCUAGCAUAAUUGAGUGGAGUUGCAUGCAAUCCUAUAAAUAGGACGACAUAAAUCUACCUGAUUAGAGUCAAAUCUAAUAAGGGAAUCCAUAGAUUUAGUUACUGCGACAAUAGGGGUUUUAAUUAGAAAGAGAUUUCAAUUAAUCAAUCUAAUUAAAGUCAAUUGUUCUUACUCUCGAAAUAGAUAUUAGCAUAGUUUAGGGAUUUCUACGAAUUAAGACACCAAGUAAAUAAAUCGUUUAAAUCAAAAUAAUAAUAAUAGAGGGAAUCCAGGUGGAUUACGCAUUUUUAUUUGUAAUGUUAUUAUAUAAUUUGUUAUAUAAUUAUGUUAUUAUACUAUUUUAAAUGGGGUUUUUGAAUUUUUUGUUUGAAAAAUAUAAAUUUAGUUGUAAUGUUAAUAAAAACUUUUAAAUAGGUAUAAUGACAAAAAAAUGUUCUUAGCAUUUAUAAGAUUUUAAAUAGGUAUAAUGACAAAAAAAUGUUCUUAGCAUUUAUAAGAUUUUAUUUUGAGUUAAAUUAUAAUUUUUUUAAUGCAAAAUGUUGAUUAAACAAUAGCCUUAUUUAAGUUUAUAACGUGAUAUGAAUAGUAAACUCUUUUCAAGGUUGGUCUCAAUUGGAUCAUCUUUCACAAUAGUCUUAUUUAAGUUUAUUAUGUUUUCUCAUUUGUUUCUAAUUUAUGAUGGGCUUCAACAGCUCUUGUAUAAGUUGAAAAUAAUGAACCUCAAAUGCAGCUGAGAUGGGAUUGCAUGUGGGAUUCUCGAGGGUGGAAUCGAAGGGGAGACUCCUUAUCUUUGAUUCGGAAGCUGCAAACAAAGGGAGUUGAAGGUCAGUGAUAGGAGCCUACAUCUCAAAUAUUAGAACUACCUGUGAAGGGUAUCAAAUCUGUGUAAACAUGGGCCAAAACAAGCAAACGGAGUUACACAUCUAUUGGCUACAGAGGGAUUAAAGAGAGAUGAAGAAACUUAUCUUGUUGGUGCGGUUCCUUCAUACGCGAAAGUAGCAGCGGAAGACGACCGUCAACAGUUGGGCUCACUUUGUCCAGCAGGUCGAAGAUCCACUGCUUAGAAAGAAGAUAAAAUGGGAUUUUACUGUGGGCAAGCAGAUUGAAGAAUAGAUGGACUACUGGGUUUCUUAGUUUCGGCGGAGAAUAAAUCGGAUAUAUUAUUAACUUUAAAUUUAAUUGUUAAAUUGGGCUCGAGCUUGAACACAUAUGAAUUUAAUCAAAUUCAAGUUGAAUGUUAAAUAUGAAAUUUAUUUUUAUUUAUCCAAAAAGCAGAAAUGUUUACAAAUAUCUAUAGUAUACAUUUGUAAUUCCCCAUGCUAUAAAAAGUUCUUAUUGCCUUGAUCUCUCAGAUUCACAUUAACCUCUACCAGCCUCAUUCCCACUAACUCCUUUACUAUUCCCAAGUAAUAUAAAGCGUAAUAAAAAGUAGAUAUCUCAAUUGAGUGGGCUGAAUCUAUAUAGAUGUUAAUUCAAUUUAGAUUUGAGUUAUUUUCUAUUUGAGUUAAAUUUUUAUGUAAUAGUUCAAAUUGAUUCGAAAUUAAGUCAUUUUAGAUAUGAAAUUUAAACUUUUUAGGUUUAAUUAUUAUGGGUUAUGAAAUUUUUAGAUGAUUAUGAAUUAUUUUGGGUUUGACGAAAAUAUUACAUAAAUGUCAUUCCUAGAAUUAGCUUCAUGGUGAAUUGAAGGUCACAAUCUGGAUUUGUUCAUAUUUUAAGGUUAUUGGUAUUCUCCUCACCUAAUAUACUAAACAACCUAUAGUGUAAAGAGUGUAUUUGAUGGUUACCAAAUUAACUAUAAAUAUGAUUAAGGCAAGAACACCUAUCGAGCAAUAGUAUAGUUAUGGUGAGUAGGAAAUAUCAUAUCCAUGAGGACUAAAAGUACUAGUAAUUACUGUUUUUCUAUUAUUUAGCUGACAAAUUGGAGUGAUUGUUUUUAAUCUAAAAUUACUGAACUAAUCCAACUAAGAACGCAACAGAGAAUGAAAUAAGAAAAAUAAUCGAAGAUUACCAAUGAGAUAGACAAUACCCAGGAAAGAAUCCACCUAGACUUCACCUAUUAUUCUAAAUCUGAAUUAAAUGAUUUAUUCACUUGUGUCUUGAUCCGUAGAAAUCCCUAAUUUAUGUUAAUAAAUAUUUUAAGAGUAAGAACAACUGACUCUAGGUUGAUUACUUGAAAUCUCUUUCUAAUUAAAAUCCCUAUUGUCGCAUUAACCCGGUCUAUGGAUUCCCCUAUUAGAUUUGACUCUAAUCCGAUAGAUUUAUGUCGUCCUAUUUCUAGGAUUGCAUGCAACUCCACUCAAUUAUGCUAGAUCUACUCUUAAACAGGGACUUUUGCUCCACUGAAAUAAGCACAUUAAACAUGAAUUAAUAUCCUAAAACUAUUAAAACAUGAAAUAAGCAUACAUAAUUGAGAACAAGAAUAAAAUAUUUAUCGCGUAAAAACAAAAAUUAAAUAAUAACAUUCAUCAUAGGUUUCAUCCUCCCUAGGUAUCUAGGGAGUUUAGUUCAUAAUCCUGAAUAAAAACAUCUCAGAGUUAGGAUAACAACAAGACAUAAAGAAACUCAAUAAAACUUCGAGGGAAAUUAAAUGGAGAUCUUCAAUCUUGAAGAAGAUCCACUUCUGAGUUGAUUCCCAUGGCGUUCUUCGAGUCUUUUCUUCAAUCUUCCCUGAGUGCCCCCUUAAAUCUUCUUCUAAUUGGUAUUUAUAGACUUUAGAAUGCUCAGAAUGCUUAAAAAUUGGGUUUUUCUGCGUAUUUAGAAAGCAGGGUGCGAUAUUGACACAGGCUAGCACAUGGGCAUGUGGCCAGCCCAUAUGGAAAUGCCUAGGCUAUGUGGAUCCUAGAAACAACUCUAUUUGUUUGAUUUUUCGCUCUCAAAUGCUCUCCUAAAUAUAGAAACAUGAAUUUAAAGAAUUAGGAGCAUAAAAUUCACUAAUUUACAUAAUUAAUCAUCCAAAAAAACAUUAAGAAUGAGAUUAAAAUAUGUUACUUUUAUAACUUAUCAGUAUUCGAAAUUAUAUUCUAAUUAAGAUACCCCUACCUAUCAACAUUCAGAAAGAUAAUCAAUGGAUUGGAGUUGCUUCUUGCUGCAUUUUUGACAAUAAUGCUUCAGGACAUUCUAUCGAUUGUGGAGGAUUUAUUUUUCAAGGUAGAAAUUAUCGAUAGCUUGGUUUGAGAUGCUUGUUCUUGGGUAAAGGAAUAAUGAAAGGUCACCUUUUGCUUCAUUAUUGGUCGCGUGAUAAACUAUAUCCAAUUUCCUUGGGAUAAAUAUAGUGACUGUGAAUUCAAUAAUUUAUUGUCAAUAGACUGCUUAGAUCAAAAUUGUGAUGAGCCUGAGAUGUGUUUCAUAGAUGCAUAUGAUUGAAAUUUGCAAGUGAAGAAGUGUGGUGUUAGAAUAGUGUAUUGGUGUGUUGUUAAAAACACUAAAAAUAAUCUAUCCCUAUAAUGAAAAGAAUAGUAUAAGGGAAGUAGGGUGAAAUCCUCAGGGACUGGAUUGCUACAACUUCUUGUUCCUCGAAAUCCUGGGCACAGUCGUGCCCGAGAAAAAGCGGUGUACAUAAUCCUUCUCAUGAUAGAAUAAACCAGUUAGUUAUAGUGGAAAAGGAUGCCUAUGACCACCAGCUCCACUUAGAUUUUAGACUUAUGAUUUAGAGGAACCUGACUCUAGCCAACCGUCACUUUCGUGGGACCAUCUUACACUAGAUCAUUGUUUCUCAAUGACGAAUGCCACCAUUUCGUCUCUUGGGCUCAACAACCUCUGACGCAGUAAGUUAACAAACCGGCUGUACAACUCUCCUAAAAUAUACAAAGCUGCUGCCUUUGCACAAGAUAAAAAGGUCACUUUUGGAAGGUCAUGGACGGAAGCGUUAAUCCCGUAAUACAGAGAAAUGAUGAAUACUCGUUGAGAAUGCUAAGUGCGAGUUCUAAGCCUCAUGAACCCUUUUUUGGAGAAUCUCAACAAUCUUUGGCCAGAUGAAUUUAAUGGCUCAUGCUUUUCGGGAAAAAGAAAUAAGUUUAAUGGAAUGGAAUUUAAUUGGGAAAUAAAACUAAAGGAACAAAAAGGCUAGAGAGCCUUAGAGGGAAAUGAGUGUUUUACAAGAAUUGAUGAUUGAAUAAUUAUGUCACUCCAUCCCCUAUUUAUAGUACAUAGAAAACCUAGUUUGUUCCUAUUUAAACUCUAAAAGAUAAAUAAAGAUAAAAGUUGAAAUUAGAUCUAAAUAAUAAUCCUAAUAAAAUUCAAAUUUAAAUAGAGUCUUAUGUUUAUAAAUCUCUUUUUUGAAUUUUUGCCCCCAAAUCUUUCACAGUUUGUAUUUUCGACACCACUUCUUUCCUAUUUUGCAUGCUAACCCAUUUUGUCUUUAAAUUCAGGCUUUUUGUCCCUAAAUUUCCUUUUGUCUUUAAUUUAGUCCCUACAAGAUGAAAAACCUUUCCUUUUAUCUUCAAUUUAGUCCCUACAAGACGAAAAAUCAUAAACAGCCCAAAUUAGUAGGAUCAUGCUUAAAAUAUAUAUGUAAUUAAUACAUUAAAAUAUGCCACUCAAUCUUCUCCAAUUUUUGAACCAACGAUUGACCAGUAGGUAGCAAUUCUCACAUAAAACGAAAACAUAACGUCUAUAAGGAAGCGGAAGAAGAAGGGCUCCAACCAAAAUGAAUGCAAAAAAAAAUUAAUUUUAUAAUGGGCCAACUUUGUCCUAUUAGUUUUUUUUACACAUCUAUGUAAACUUAUUUGCUUAUGAGAUAUAAUCACUUAUUUGCUUAUGAGAUAUAAUCAUUCUUAUAUAUAAAAAAAUUUUAAAUUUUUUUAUUUAUACUCAUAUUAAACAUGAGCUCAUAUUCUAUGCAUAUCCCAAAUGUUGAUAACAUAGUAUUUUUUUAGACCAUUUAAAAUUCUUCUUUAUUUUUAUGAUUUUUCUAUUUUUAAAAAAUUUAUGUAUUUUAAUAUUAUAUAAUUUUUUAAAUUAUGAUUGACUUUUUUUGGGUAAACUACAAAUAUAGUCACUUUUGUUUCACUCAGAUUAUAUUUUAGUCACUUAUGUUUGAAAUGUUAUGUUUUAGUCACUUGCGUAUCGUUUUGUUACGAAGUGGUCACUCUACCAUUAAGUUCCGUUACCUCCCUAACGGCAAUCCUACGUGGCAGUCCAAAUGGGUUUUAAAUCCUAACUUGGAUGUCUAAUUGGUACGACAAUAGAUUUUUAUUUAAAUAAAUUUAAUUAAUUGAAAAUUUUAAAUUAAUUACAUGUUGAACUGGAAAAGAAAAAUCAUUCAUCUCUUUUUUCUUUUUAGUUUUCUUUUUCAUUUUAACUGAAAAAAUUAUUCUCAUCCUAGUUGAAAAUCCAAGUUGUCAUUUAAAACUCAUUUGGACUGCCACGUAGGAUUGUCAUUAGGGAGAUAACGGAACUUAAUGGAAGAGUGACUACUUCGUAACAAAACGAUAACGUAAGUGACUAAAACGUAGCAUUUCAAACAUAAGUGACUAAAAUGUAAUUUGCGGCAAACAAAAGUGACUAUUUUUAUAGUUUACUUUUUUUGAAUUUUAGAGUUUAGGUUAAUUUUGUGAACUCUUUCUUGGAAUCUUCAUGGAGAGAACAUCUAUCAUCUCCCAAUUUCCACACCUACGCGCUUGAGGGAAAUGAGGUUGUUGUUUUGGGAGGUUGAAAGGUGAGGGGGAGCUGUUUGGGAUGGUGGUCGGUAAUGGAAGAUGAGAGUGAUGAAGCCCGGGUGUAUUGGUGAUGUUGGUGGUGAAGAUGGGAGCCUCGAGUGAUAGACAGAGAAUGGUGAAAAGGCCCCUGGGUUAGCUUAGAGAUGAAAUUUUCUGCUACUGUUGCCUCCAAACACAGAAUUGCUAACCUACCCCGCUUGAAUUUUGUAGAUUGAUUUUAUAACAGAAACCAGUGGAGCAUGUUGUGUGUGGUGGUUGCAGUGUAACCUGUCCCAAGCUACUAGAAACACAUUAGGAUCUGUUUGUAAAGUUAAUAAAAAUUUUGGGACUUUUAUUCAAAAUUUGAUCUAUUUCUCUCCUUCAUGCUCAUAUACUAUACUAUAUUGAAAAUAUAUUAAAGAGAUUUGACAAGGAUUGUACAUUAGGUGAUGCUUAUAUCAUUAAAAGGGACAAGAAACUAAUAGCAUUCCGUUAUCCACUGCUUAUAAAGAAAUACUAAUAUAAUAAAAUUUAUGCUAAAAUCAAUUUAAUGUUUUUUAAUCGGAUUUGUAGUCGAAUUGAAUAGGUUAUUAGUUUGUUGGUCCAAUGAUUAAAAAUUAUUAAAAUUUAAAAAAGUUAAAGUAGAGUUUGUUGGUCGAAUUGAAUCGGUUCGUAUCAAUUUUCAAUCUAAUCAAUUCAAAAUCACUCUAUGAACCAAUACUCUGUCGGCUCCUGAUCUAAUCGAUCGAUCAAUCCGAUUCAAAAAAGACUGAAUCAAUAGAUAAAAGAUGAGAAUAAUUCUUAAACACAACCUGCAAAUUAUGAGAUUAAUUAUAUCUCAAAUUGAUCCAACAUAAAACAGAUAAAAAGAAAAGGUUUCAACAACUCUUCCAAUACAUAUUAUGCUUUAAUGAUCCCACACCAUGUUAAUGAGUUGCGUACUGCACCUUCCUCGAUGGGCAAGCAUAUUUCCCACAUGGGAUUCUCACAAGGAAUCACAGCUUCUUUACUGCAACAACAUGGAAAAAAAAAACUUGAUGGAAAUAAUUUAAGAUCAAAAUUAAACACCAAUAUAUACACACAUAGAAAAUAAAGAGAAACUUAGAGCUAACAUAUAUAUACACACAGACAUACACAUACAUACAUUCGGUAUUUCCAGCGUUUUGUCCAGUUCUUCUUCUCUUCUACUUCUUGCAUGUAAAAGUAAUAUUCCCAUGCCGAUCACCGGUCCCUGUACAACAAAACUUUAAAAGCAAUGAACUAUAUACAUAUACGUUAGUUUUUUGAUUGGAAAUGAGACCCUUUCAUUUCUCUUUUCACACACUCGCAUUGAACAACAAUGGAGGGGAAAUAGAGUAAGAAUUAGUUCAUUGAUCCUUGUUUUAGCUUAUUUCAAGAUGGAUGAUUGAAAUUUGAUUAUGAUAAGAAUAUAAAAACAAACUUGAGGUUUUUUUUUUUAUGUUUUUUUAUUGCUUUCGAAGUAUUGUUCUCAACAGCCCAUAUAUAAGUUGAAAGUGAUCAACUUUAAAGGGUCCCAAAACCUGAUCAAUACCCCAGACUUUAAAAUUGUAGAUGUCCAUCCAUCAUUCGGAAUGCUUAAGAGGCUUAAACUUUUGAAUUUCAAAGACUGCAGAAGUCUUAGUAGUCUUCCAACCAGAAUUGAAGUGAAAUCCCUUGAAACAUUGGUUCUUUCGUGUUGCUCAAAUCUUCAAAGGUUUCCAGUUAUCGACGGGAAAAUGAAAUGUUUAAAAACUCUUAAUCUUUCUGGUUAUUAUAGAGUUUAAAAUUUACCAGAGAAUUUGCAGCAAGCGAAGUUUUUAGAAGAGCUCGAUUUAAGUGAAACAGCCAUAGCAGAGCCACCAUACUUCACUUUUCAAUCUAAAAAUCUUAAAUUCAGUGGGUUUGGCCCGAGAACAUCAAUCCAUUAACAUUGCUAAUUAUGAAAUACGUAAAAUACAAAUCGUCCAACAUUUUUAAUUAUUACUUAUAAUUAAAGUAGACUCCACUUUGCCAACUCUCACCUUCUUGGAAACAACAUCCAUCGCUCAUCUUUGACCCCUAUGCUCAUAUACUUACUUUUCUAUUUUCUGAUUUUGAACACCAGAUUGAUAUAUUCUUCUCCUUUCAUCCAUCCUCAUGUAUAUAGACAAUUAUAUGAUUAUGUAACUGAAAGCAAUACACAAACCGUCCAACACUUUACUCAUUACUUAGAAUUAUUGCAGGCUCCAUUUUGUCAACACCCACCUUCUUAGAUUCUUCCUGGAAAGAGCAUGCAUCACCCAAUGUCCACACCUACUCGUAUUCAUUUCGAAAAUUCAAAGGUUAUAGAGAAAUUGCUUAGAAACGUCCCUUAUUCUUCCCUGGAAUUUUCAUCUGUUUUUCUCAAUCUUCACUCUCAUAUACUUAUUGUUUCUAGUUUCUUUCUGGCGUAUUGAGCGAUCAAUUUUCUGAUUUUUAACACUACAUCCACAUAUAUAUUUUUCUUCUCAAACAUCGUCAUGUUGUCAUUACCUUCAACUUCCUCAUACAUUUCCAGAAAGAAAUAUGAUGUUUUCUUGAGUUUUAGAGGUGAAGAUACUCGCAAAAACUUCACCGAUCAUCUCUAUGCUGCUCUAAAGAGGAGUGGGAUCGUCACUUUCAGGGAUGAUCCAAAGCUGGAGGCCGGCGAAGAGAUCGCGCCAGAACUCUUUAAAGCAAUUCAGCAAUCAAGGUGCUCGGUAAUCGUUUUUUCACAAACUUAUGCCUUUUCAAGUUGGUGCUUGGAGGAGCUUGCUGAGAUUCUUCAACAACAUAACAACGACGGCCAUAAAGUGUUUCCAAUUUUUUACGAUGUUGAUCCAUCUGAUUUAAGAAAACAAAAAGGGAAAGUGGAAGAAGCCUUUGACAGACAUGAAGAGAGAUACAAAGAAGAAAGUGAGAAGAUCCAAAGGUGGCGAAAUGCUUUAAUUCAAGUGGCUGCAAUCAAGGGANNNNNNNNNNNNNNNNNNNNNNNNNNNNNNNNNNNNNNNNNNNNNNNNNNNNNNNNNNNNNNNNNNNNNNNNNNNNNNNNNNNNNNNNNNNNNNNNNNNNACUUUUUUUUUUUUUUCUAAUCCUAUGUGUUAAUUCAAAAGUGUCAUAUUUCAAUAAAAGAGCAAACUUUGUAUUCUGGCUACGCAACAGAUCUUGCUUUCUUAUUCUUGGUUCUUGUUUGCUUCCAAACUAUAUUAUGUUUGAUGAUUCAUUGAAAAAGAAAGUGCAUUCGAAACAUAUCAACAAAAUUUUACUCAAAACAUUAAAAUUUAUUUUUUUUAGGCAUGAAUCAGAAUUUAUUAGAGACAUUGUUAAGAAGAUAUCAGCAAAACUAUGUCAGACAUAUCCAGUUACUCAUAGCGACUUGGUUGGUAUUAGUGAACGCUUGGAGGAUUUUUAUUUGAAAAUAAACAUUGGGGAAGAUGAUGUCCGCUUUAUCGGAAUUUGCGGAAUGGGUGGCAUCGGUAAAACGACACUCGCAAGAGUUGCUUACACUCAAAUGUCACCUCAUUUUGAAGGUAAAAGCUUUAUUGCUGAUAUUCGAGAAGUUUCAGACAAAUGCGGACUAGUUUCUUUACAGAAACAACUUCUUUCACAGAUCUUUCAUGGUGAAUGCUUCAACUUUUUCGAUGUUCAUGAAGGGAGUGACAUAAUUAGCCAUAGGUUGUCUCACAAAAAGGUUCUUGUUGUUCUUGAUAAUGUUGAUAACAUACAACACUUAAAAUGCUUGGUUGGAAGGCACGAUUGGUUCGGAUUAGGAAGUAGAAUCGUUGUAACAACAAGAGAAGAACAUUUGCUUCGAUCUUGGCCAGUUGAUGAUAUGUAUGAGCCCACAACAUUGAAUCCCAAAGAUGCGCUUCAACUUUUCAGUCUGAAAGCUUUUCAUAGUGAUACAGUGCAGAAAGAUGAUUUCAUUGAGCUUUCUAAACAUGUUGUAAAUUAUGCUGGUGGGCUCCCUUUAGCUCUUGAAGUUUUGGGUUCCUUUCUGUGCGGUAGAGAUGCGACUCAAUGGAGAAGUGCGAUUGAAAGACUUAAAAGAGAUUCUAAUAAAGAAAUUCUGGAUAAACUUCGAAUCAGUUUUGAUGGAUUGGAAGAAAGGGAGAAGAAUAUAUUUUUAGAUAUAGCAUGCUUCUUCAAUGGGGAGAAGAAAGAUUUUGUAAUCAAAGUAUUGGAUGGUUGUGAGUUUUUUCCUGAUAUUGGAAUUGAUGUUCUUGUUAAAAAAUCUCUCGUAAAAGUCAAUAAACACAACAAAAAUUUGAAGAUGCAUGACUUGUUGCAAGAAAUGGGAAGAACAAUUGUUAAAGAAAAAUGUGUUGAUGAACCUGGAAAACGUUGUAGAUUGUGGGAGGAAAGGGACGUCCAUCAUGUCCUAACAAAAAACACUGUAAGUCAUUUAACAAAAGUUACAUACUAUUUCUUUUCUAUCCUACAUUAUUCACCAUUUAUUUUAUUUUCUUAUUGUCUGUUCUUGAUUUGUUAGGCUACAGAAAUGAUUGAAGGCAUAAUCAUCGAUAAUAAAAUGUAAGAAGACACACAUAAACUUAUAUCUAUGUGUACUGUAAAUAAUUAUUAUUUUUAAAUAUGAUAAAAAAACCUACAGCAAAACUUUUGACAUUCAAUAUUUCAAUGUUUAAUUAUGAAAUUUAUCUAGCAACAUAUUUACUUUUUCAAAAGAGAAAUGUAUGUAUCUUUUUUGAAAAUUAAUGGUAUAUAUUUAAUGUACUAAAAGUGUAUAUCAACGAAUUAGAUUAUAACACGUCAUCAAAAUUUUUUAAUGAAAAUGGUUUCAUUUUUUAAUUAUGUGUCAUUGUUUGAUUCAUUAACUUGUAAAUUAUGCAUUGUUUGUGGACCAAAUAUAAAUCAACAUAUUAAUUCAAUUUUUUAGGAUUAGGUAAUUUAACAUCGGAUGUGAUUGUUAGAUAUAAGUAUCACUUUAAUAUGAGUAUAUUUAAAAAAACUAAAAAUUAUUUUUUUCACGUAUUUAAAAGGUUCUUAAAGGAUCAUAUCUUAAUACUCAUAUACGAAUGUGCAUUAGAUAUAAGUAUUGGAUACGAGUACUUAAAAAACCAACAUCAAUGAAACAUUUCUUUUAAAUAUUGAAUGUUUUCGUAUAUUUUGAAGCUCAUUUUUGUUUUGCUCAUGGAUAUUAGGGAAUCGAACAAGAUGCUCAAUUUGAGUGUGGAUACCUUCUUGAAGAUGAAAAAAUUGAGAUUGCUCAAAGUGCUUUGCCUUUCGAAUUGUAAUGAUCUCAAAUAUCUUUCAAAUGAACUACGACUUUUGGAUUGGACAGGAUACCUUUUAAGAUACUUGCCUUCAAGCUUUCAACCGGACAACCUUGUCGCACUUCUUUUGCCAUAUAGUCACAUUCAACAACUAUGGAAGGGAAAUAGAGUAAGAAUUAACUCAUCUUAUCCUUGUGUUUUAACUUAUUUUAAUAUAAAUUAUUAAACUUUGAUUAAGGUAAAACAAAAAAACAAAAAUGAGCAUUAUUACGUUUUCUCAUUUGUUUCUAAUUUAUUAUGGUCUUCAACAGCCCUUGUUUAACUUGAAAAUAAUGAACCUCAGAGGGUCUCAAAACCUGAUCAAGACACCAGACUUCACAACAGCAUCAAAUCUUGAAGUUUUGAUUUUGGAAGGUUGUACCAAAUUAGUGGAUGUUCAUCCAUCAAUCGGGGUGCUUAAGAGCCUUAAACUUUUGAAUUUAAGAGAUUGCAAAAGUCUUAGGACUCUUCCAACAAAAAUUGGAAUGGAAUCUCUUGAAACAUUCAUUCUUUCGGGUUGCUCAAGUCUUGUAAGGUUUCCGGAGAUUGAUGGGAAAAUGGAACGUCUAAAAACUCUAGAUCUUUUCGGUUGUUAUAGAGUGGAAAACUUAUCGGAGAAUUUGCAGCAAGCAAAGUUUUUGGAAGAGCUCGACUUAAGUGAAACAGCCAUAACAGAACCACCAUCCUUCAUUUUUCAAUUUAAAAAUCUUAAAGUUCUGUCUUUCAAUGGGCGCAAGGGACCAUCAUAUAAGUUGCUACCAAAUUUGCCUUCUCUUUUCAAGGUAAUCCAAGGAAGAAGGACGAAUCCCAUGGCUCGGAUGUUGCCUUUGUUGUCAAGUUUGAGUUCUUUAAGAGAGCUAAAACUAAGGGACUGCAAUCUCCGUGAAGGAGAUAUUCCACGUGAUAUUUCUGGUCUAUCCUGUUUGGAAAAACUUGAUCUUAGUGGUAACAAUUUCAUCNNNNNNNNNNNNNNNNNNNNNNNNNNNNNNNNNNNNNNNNNNNNNNNNNNNNNNNNNNNNNNNNNNNNNNNNNNNNNNNNNNNNNNNNNNNNNNNNNNNNNNNNNNNNNNNNNNNNNNNNNNNNNNNNNNNNNNNAGUGGUAACAAUUUCAUCAGCAUACCUGCAUCUCUUACUGGACUCUCAAAGCUUCAUGUUCUUGACUUGUCAAAUUGCAACGUGUGCACUCUUGGUGAAGCAGAUAUUCAUAGUGAUCUUUCUGGUCUAUCCUCUUUAAUAAGUCUUGAUCUUAGUGGUAAUAAUUUCAUUACCAUUCCUUUGGCUCUUACUCAACUUUCCAGGCUCAGAUUGCUUACAAUGUCAGGUUGCAAGAUGCUUAAAUCGUUGCCUGAGCUACCAACAACUAUAGCAGUUGUGACUAUAGAUGGUUGUUCUUCACUUGAAGUAGUUGCAAGUCCAUCAAAAGUAUGCAAUUUAGCGGGUUGUGGUGACAUUCGUGCCAUUAACUGCUUCAAAUUGGCUGAGAAAAUCAAUGCAUUAACACUGCUGAAAGAACAUAUUAAGGUCGAUUAAUCUAAUUUUUCUACCUUAGAAAAUCUCAUACUUGAGAAUUUAUGGUUUUAGUUACCAAACGACUUGUGUUUUAUUUUGCAGGGGGUUCGAUAUCCAAGAGAUUGGUUUGAUAGUUGCAUCUUUGAUAUUAUGAUGCCCGGAAGUGAAAUCCCAGAAUGGUUUAGCCAACAAAAAAGUGACAAAUCAAUUAAGAUACCCGUUCCGAAAGAUAGUCAAUGGAUUGGAGUUGCUUGUUGCUGCAUUUUUGUCAAUAAUGAUGCUUCAAGGCAUAUCGAGGCUAUCGGAUGUAAUGCAUCUAUUUUUCGAGGUAGAAAUUGUCGACCAAUUGAUCGGAGAAACCGGUGGGUAGGUCGAUACCUUGACAAGCCCAUAAUGAAAGAUCACCUUUUUCUUCGUUAUUUUCCGCGUGAUGAAUUAUAUCUUUCCUUGGCGGAUAAAUAUGGUGACUGUGAAACCAAUAAUUUAUGGACAACAGAUUGCUUAGAUCAAAUAGGCGAUGAGCUUAAGUUGUCUUUCAAUGCCGAAUUUGGACCAAAUUGCCGUUGUGUUAAGGUGAAGAAGUGUGGUGUUAGAAUAGUGUAUGAGAAAGAUUUGGAAGAGAUAAAAGAGUUGCAGUGCCAUACCACUCAAUCUUCUCCAAAUUUUGAACACAUCCACCGACACUCUGCUCAAAACCAUGGAUCAGUAGGUAGCACUUCUCACAUGAAACGAAAACGUAAUAUCUAUGAGGAAACGGAGGAAGAAGAGCCGCAACCAAAACGGAUGCAAAAUAUUUUCAAUUUUGUAAAGGGGCAAUCAAGAAAGAAGCAUUAACUGUGGUAAACUACUUAACCAACUUCGUCCUAUUAAUUUUCUUUUACACAUCUUAUAUUUCAUUUAAACAAUUAUUCUAGACUUGUUUUGCAUAUGAGAUAUGAUCCUUCCAUUAUAUGCCAAAACAUUUUAAAAAAUUUUAUUCAUAUUCAUAUUCAUAUUCAACAUAUACAUAUCUCAAAUGUUGAUAACAUUAUUUUUUAUACCAUUUAAAGUUUUAGUCACUUAUCGAAUGUGUAUAUUUUGAUUGGUUUCACCUUUUUUUUAUUAAAAUUUUAUUUCCACUAUAUAUAUUCACUUACAUCUAUAUUUUAUUUAUAGGUUGAAGAUGAAGCAAAUUAAAACAAAAUUGUGAGACAAAAAUGGAGACGAAGCAAGUAAUGAUAAAUGAGAGUCCUUUAAUAAGGAUCGAUCAUAAUUUCAACUGAGUUAAAAAUCAUUUUAUUUUUAUUGGAGACCAACUUAUAUGUUCAAUUUAAUCAGUCAAAACUGUUUUUAUAUAUUUAAAAGAUUAAAUAUAAAUCCUUAAAGGUACUUAAAUAGAUUUAAUCCAUUCUAAUAAAGUAUCAUUUAUAUUUCACGACUUGAAAUACAAAUAAUAUUAUUCCAACUCCUCAGUUUAUAUUUUUUUAUAAAAUAUUUAUGUUUAGACAUUUAUUUUUAAUAUUUAUUCAAAUAUGAAUAUAAAGUAUGCACUAAUAUUCAAUUAGAAAAUCUUUUGUACGUGAGUGUUAAACAGUUGUUACGAUGGUUAGUUUGAUAGGUUGUUACAAAAUCUGUUAAGCAGUUCAUUAGACAGUUGGUUAUCAUAUUUGUAUAAAACCUCAUCAGUGUAUUCAUUCAACAAGAUAGCAUAAGACUAAAGAAUUCUUUUAUACUUCACUUUUCUGUUUAUACAUAUUUCGAGUAGUAUCUUAUAUGGUAUCAGUCACCUAGUCCUGGUACGUGCUUCCGUUGUUGUGUUAUGGCACCAUCAGCCGAUUGUAACUUUGCUGAUCCUAUGAGUCCGACGUUUUCUGGUCAACGCUUGGUCCAAUCUUUCCCCCGUCAUGACACGGUGAAACUAGAGGGAGAAAACUUUGUUCAAUGGCAGCAACAUAUCCGAUUGAUAAUAGAGGGAUAUGAGCUGCAAGGUUUCUUGGAAGGUACGCUGUCUGCUUUGUCUCGAUUUAUUGCGUCUCCAGAAGGUGCUCUUAUUCUGAAUCCAGAAGUGGCUACAUUCAAUCAACAGGAUAAGCUAUUAGCUUCUUGGCUCCUAAGUACGAUUAGUUCGUCACUUUUGUCAUGUUUUACCUCUACUCAAUCUGCGUGUGACAUCUAGAGCACCGCAAAUCGUCUUUUUGCUGCGUCAACUAGUGUGAAAAUUUCUCGCAUCAAGCAUGAUCUUCAUUCUACAAAGAAGGGUGAGUUAACUGUCACAGAAUAUAUUGCGAAGAUAGAAAAUACCUGUGCCUUACUUACAGCUCUGGAUCGGUGGUGUCAGAAGCUAAAAAGGUGGAAGUCAUUUUGGCUGGGCUCUCAUCGGAUUUUGAUAUCGUACUAACCUUGGCUUUGUUCUUGACGGAGCCUCUUCCCUUUCUGCGUUUGGUCGAGGUUCUCAUGGAAUUUGAAAGUAAACAGCUGCAAGUGGCGCGUGAGGUUCCCAUCCAUGCUCAUCCUGUUGAAACGCGUAAUGUUGCUGCGAUCGUUGAUUCUGUUUCACGUGAUGUGCGUGGAGGCCGUGUGACAGUAGGUUUGCAAGAGCGUGGCUUCUGUUCGCUCAUGCAGUGCCAAAUCUGUAAUAGGUUCGAUCACAUGGUGCAGCAAUGCUUCUAUCGCUUUAAUUGGUCUUACGAUAGUCUGAAUGCUUCUACCACGGUGAGGUUUUCACCGUCUACGCAUAAUAGACAACAAGGUUUUGGAUCUGGUGACCUUUUGAGAGACUGGUCGUCUUUUCAAAGUCGGAGUGAAUAUCCACCACAACUGCAAGCUACGAAUUUUGGUGAAACUGGCUAUUGGUUGAGUUUGCAGAAGACACAAAUGGACAGUGGUUUGGAUCUGUUGGCCCGUUUGAUUUCUUUGAAAGGCGUGUUGGGCAUGCUGUGGGCCAGUGUUCUGUACAACACAUUGGGCUGCCUUCCUCGGUUGCACACAGGCCCCAUUAUGCAGGCCAGAUUCGUGGGUAGUGUCUUGGACCAAAUGCUGGUCAGGUUUUUAGGUCGGUUCAUGGGUAGAAGACUAGUCAGGUUUUUGGGCAGAAUACUGGGCAUUAUUUUGGGUCAACUAAUAGUAAGUGUUUUAGUCCUAUUAGCGGGAGCAUGAUGUGCAACAAUUUGGGCUGCAUGCAGGCCAGUCUGUUGGGCCUCUUAGUAGGUAGAUUAAUGGGCUGAAUAGUGGACAGGUUGAUGCUAUUCAAAAACUUGGGCCUAAUGCUAAUUUUGUUGGUGUUGAAAGCUCUAUGCAAAAUAAUGCUCCUGUUCCGUAGCGAACAAAACCACGAGUACGUGUUUUUUAUUUUAAUUUCUCUCAGUGUGUUGGGCUACCCCGAAUUCUUGAUUUUCUUGCUUCUGAUUUUUCGGAUGCCACACAGUAUGAUUCCAACUUUGAUAAUAUAUACUAACUCGUGUGUUCCUGUGCCAAUAGGAACCUCAUCAUAGUAUCCAGAUUCAAGGGCAACUCAUCAUGUAUGUCAGAAUGCAUCUGAUUUAAAUGCAUCUAAUUAGGAGCAUUUGAUUCAUUUUGAUAAUGACAUCCUAAUCAUUUAGGCAUAAACAAGAGUUCAUGGGUUAUGCGUCCCUAGAGAACAGGUCAGUGAAACUACAAAUCUCAUCUCCCUGAAGUUGCAGUGGAGCAGACUAAAGAUAAUGAAUCUUAUUUCCCUGAAGUUGCGGUGGAACAGAUUGAAGCUAUAAGUUACAGAUCCUAUCUCUCUGAAGUUACUGUAGAGUAGAUCAUAUCAAACCUUAUCUCCCUGCAGUUGCAGUGGAACAAAUUAAAGACCGGCUACAAAUCUUAUCUCCCUGAAGUUGCAGUAGAGCAGAUUUAAGCCACAAACCUUCCCCUUUGAAAUUGCCGUGGGGCAGGUUGAAAAUACAAGCCUUACUUCCCUGAAGUUGCAGUGGAGCAGACUGAAGCUAUUAAUCCUAUCUCCCGGAAGUUGCAGUGGAGCGGAUUAAAACGAUGAAUCCUAUACCUUUAAAGUUGUAGAGGGUUUGAUUAAAUUUGAUCAUAUCAAACCUUAUCUCCCUGAGGUCGCAGUGGAGUAGUGGAGUAGACUAAAACCAAAACCUCGUCCUCUUAAAGUUGUUGCGAAGAAGAUUGAAGCUACAAGAAGUGCAGUGGAGUGGAUUGAAGCGAUAGGACACAGUGGAUUGGAAUAAGGCUACUUGAAGAAGAGAAGAGUCAAAAGAAGUCGGGACUUGGUGAGACCAGGCAAAAUUGGUCUUCCUUAGUCUUUGCUCUAUUCUCGUUACACGACAACGAGCAAAGAGGGGUAGCUUUACAGCCCAUUUUGCAUUGCCCAGUACCCAAAUAAACCAAAUUACCCACAUCUACCCAAAACCCAAUUACAACCUGGGGCCCAAACCAAAAGACUCAGCCCAAUACCCCUAACCUAACCAAAUCCAACACAGCCCAAAUGGCCCAAUGCAAAAAAAAAGGUGGGAGUCUGAAAACCCUAGCCCUAGGUGCGUCGCACCUAGGGUCUUCUAACCCUUGACCUACCAACCGCCACCACCGCAUGUCUGUCACCGCCGUUGUCAUGUCGACCGGCGCCUAUCAAUCACCUACAGGAGAAAAAUAAACACACAAGCAGUAAAAUAAUAGAAAAAAUGGAAACAAAUCGGCUAUAAAAGUCGAGCACCACUUCUAUAUAUAUAUUCAUUUUUUUUACGACUGGUUAAUGAAAAAGCAGAGCAAAAGCUUUUAAAAAAGGUUCACUCCAGUUUAACUGCUUCUAUUUUUUUUCUGUUAUUGUAUUUUUUCUUUAUUUUUUAUUUUUUUAUGUUUGUUUAUUUUUACGACCCUUUUUAACAAAAACGAAACAAAAUGAGAAAAGGUAAGAUACCUGUUUGCUUCGAAAACCGGCGCCGGAGCCCAUCUUCGACGUCACCGGAGUCGAACAGGGGAGGUUUUUUUCUUUUUCUCUCGGUCCCACGGUUGAUAAGGCCUAGCCUUCAGGGACGCCGUGAAGUGAGGGCUGAAAAGCCCGUUUCGCGCGACUCCAGGCACUGGCCAUGGAGACAGCGCGGCAGUGGCCAGAACUUAAGGGCCGGACAUGUGAGAGAGAGAGAGAAGGAAGUUUUGAAUUUUUUUUUUAAAAAACUUUGUAAAAAUGAUUUUUUUAGAAAAAAAUUUAAGUUAAAUAAUGAUACUUAUACAACGUCGUUUUGACAUUAGGGGGCAGGUGCCAAAACGACGUCGUUUUGACAUUAGGGGGCAGGUGCCAAAACGACGUCGUUUUGGCCCUGACACGUGACCUGACCUGUUGGCCUUCAGGAUUCGCGUGUUUCUGCUGUGAAGGGGCUAUUUGCGCAUGUGGUCCUUCUACUUUUGUGAGGCUUUGCAAUUUAGUCCUAAAAUUUUUUUCUUUACAUUUUGCGGUAUAAUUUCAUUUUUGUUUCUUUUCGGUCCAAACGGAAACGGUGCACUCUAAAGGACUGGGAAUAAUCUCCCAUAUAGUCCUCGCCCUUUUCCAGCGCAUUUCAGUUGGCCCUUUCGUUUUUUAUUUGUAAUUUAUACCUUUAAAGUCGAUUCAAAUUUCGAUCCAGUCCCUUUUAUAUUUAUUUAUCCAUUUUUUUAUAAUUUACACUCCAAAGUUUAUUUUAACCUCAAUUUGAUUCUUUAUCCUUUUAAUUUCAAGCUUUAUUUAUUUAUUUAUUCUUUUCGUUCUGUUUUAUUUAUUUAUUUAUGCAUUCAUGUAUUUAUCAAUUUCCUUACUUUUCUUGUGUUUAGAAUUUAUAUUGUUAUUUAUUCCUUUAUUGAUACAUUUCAUUAUUAUUAUCAUUAUUAUUAGUGUUUAAUUCAUUUUUAUAUUUCUAGUAUUAGAAUAGUAAUUAAUAUGGUCAUUGUUAUUAUUAUUUGGUGAUUAUUAUUAUAAUUACGUCAUGAUUAUUAUUGUAUUUUAUAAUUUAUUAUUUACCCUUUAAAUAUUCUACUAAUAUAGUUAUUUUAUGUUAUUUCAUUAUUAUUGUACUAUACAUUGUAUGAAAUAAUUGUUUGCCUUCACACAAUAUUUGCAUAAAUUAAACUUACAUAUUGUUAUAUUACAUUAAUUCUUACUUAAAUUCAAAAAAGGAAAAUUUUUAAAAUAAGACAACAUUCUGUAUUUAGAAACUCAAGAAAGUCGUACCCUAACUUAUGGGGUUUCGACUUUCUCGAAAAAUUCCAACACACGAAUCAUUUCAAACAAAGUUUUUAAAUGUUCUCGGGAAUUAAUAAAAGAUCGUGUUCUAAAUCACGGGACAUGAUCUCUUUUUUAAACCCGAGAUAAUCGAACUCUUUCAAAAUAAAUAAAUUUUUCGGCUUUCAUUCUCGUAUCGGGAAUUUUAGACAUUGUGUCCUAACUUACUGGACGUAAUUCUUCUUCUCGAUUAACUUGGAAAUAUGCUUCUCCUUUUAAAUUUUUCAAAAUUUUGAUAAAAGGAUCGUAUUAUUUUUCUUUUUUUUUUUAACUCUUCAAAAUUUUCAAUUUUCGACGCUAAGACACUAAUUAAUCAGCUAGAUACCAAUUUUGGGCGUUACGAAGGUGUUAAUCCCUCGUCGUACGUAACCGAUUCCUGAACCCAUUUUCUUUUUUUUAUCGUGGACCAAAAUCAUUGUUUUUUCAAAUCGUUUAUUAAAAUAACUAUUUUUCGAGGUGGCCCGAUCACACCUCAUCAAAAAAGAUUAGUGGUGACUCCCACAUUCGUUUUCAUUUUUUAAAACCCGAGUUGACCCCAUUUUAUCAAAAAAAAAUGGUGUCAACAAUGAUAAGAAUAUAAAAACAAAAUUGAGGUUUGGUUUUAUGUUUUUUUAUUGCUUUUUAAGUAUGGUUUUCAACAGCCAAUAUAUUAGUUGAAAGUGAUCAACUUUAAAGGGUCCCAAAACCUGAUCAAUACCCUAGACUUUAAAAUUGUAGAUGUCCAUCCAUCAUUUGGAGUGCUUAAGAGGCUUAAACUUUUGAAUUUCAAAGACUGCAAAAGUUUUAGGAGUCUUCCAACCAGAAUUGAAGUGAAAUCCCUUGAAACAUUGAUUCUUUCGUGUUGCUCAAACCUUCAAAGAUUUCCAGAUAUCGAUGGGAAAAUGAAAUGUUUACAAACUCUUAAUCUUUCUGGUUAUUAUAGAGUUGAAAAUUUACCAGAAAAUCUGCAGCAAGCGAAGUUUUUAGAAGAGCUCGAUUUAAGUGAAACAGCCAUAACAGAGCCACCAUACUUCACUUUUCAAUCUAAAAAUCUUAAAUUUAGUGGGUUUGGCCUGCCCUACAGGCAUUGAUUGCCUUAGAGCCACUGACUGCUACAGAUUGGCUGAGAAUAUCAAUCCAUUAACAUUGCUAAUUAUUAAAUACGUAAAAUACAAACCGUCCAACAUUUUUAAUUAUUACUUGUAAUUAAAGUAGACUCCACUUUGCCAACUAUCACCUUCUUGGAAACAACAUCCAUCGCUCAUCUUUGACCCCUAAUUUCCACCCCUAUGCUCAUAUACUUACUUUUUCUAGUUUCUUUGUGGAUAUUGGGCGAUCUAUUUUCUGAUUUGGAACACCAGAUUGAGAAAUCCUUCUCCUUUCAUACAUCCUCAUGUUAUCGUUCCAUUCAACUUCUUCCUCCAUUUCUGAAAAGAAAUAUGAUGUUUUCUUGAGUUUUAGAGGUGAAGAUACUCGCAACAACUUCACGGAUCAUCUUUAUGAUGCUCUAACUAAUAGAAAAGUCAACAAUAUUCAUUAUAUGUCUAACUAAUAACAUUAUAAAAAUAUAUGAUUAAAUUAGGUUAGAAAUUAAAUCUUAAAUUUAGGCAUAAUAAAAAAACUAAAAUUGAAAUUCUAACAUUUUCUUAUAAUGUAAAAGAAAAAAAAUCCUAUACAUUAAAUUAAUAAAUUGUAUUCAUACAUAAAAUGUUAUGAUAGUGAGUAAAUAUAAGUUAUUUUAGUCUGCACCUAAUGAACAUUUUAAAUGCUUCAAAUAGAACUUAAUCAUAUAAAAGGCAAAAUGUGAGGGACCGAAUUUAAAAUAACGCAUUGUACGUCCUCCCUGGACAGGUGUCUCCAAAUACUCCUUUAAUAUAUAGUUAUAUGGACAAUUAUAUGAUUAUGUAAAUGAAAGUAAAAGACAAACCGUCCAACACUUUACUUAUUACUUAGAAUUAUUGUAGGCUCCAUUUUGUCAACACCCACCUUCUUGGAUUCUUCCUGGAAAGAACAUGCAUCACCCAAUGUCCAUACCUACUCGUAUUCAUUUCGAAAAUUCAAAGGUUAUAGAGAAAUUGCUUAGAAACGUCCUUUAUUCUUCCCUGGAAUUUUCACCUGUUUUUUUCAAUCUUCACUCUCAUAUACUUAUUGUUUCUAGUUUCUUUCUGGCGUGUUGAGCGAUCAAUUUUCUGAUUUUGAACACUAAAUCCACAUAUAUUUUUCUUCUCAAACACUGUCAUGUUGUCAUUACCUUCAACUUCCUCAUACAUUUCUAGAAAGAAAUAUGAUGUUUUCUUGAGUUUUAGAGGUGAAGAUACUCGCAAAAACUUCACCGAUCAUCUCUAUGCUGCUCUAAAGAGGAGUGGGAUCGUCACUUUCAGGGAUGAUCCAAAGCUGGAGGCCGGCGAAGAGAUCGCGCCAGAACUCUUCAAAGCAAUUCAGCAAUCAUGGUGCUCGGUAAUCGUUUUUUCACAAACUUAUGCCUUUUCAAGUUGGUGCUUGGAGGAGCUUGCUGAGAUUGUUCAACAAACAACGACGGCCAUAAAGUGUUUCCAAUUUUUUACGAUGUUGAUCCAUCUGAUUUAAGAAAACAAAAAGGGAAAGUGGAAGAAGCCUUUGCCAGACAUGAAGAGAGAUACAAAGCAGAAAGUGAGAAGAUCCAAAGGUGGCGAAAUGCUUUAAUUCGAGUGGCUGCAGUCAAGGGAUGGCAUUUAAAUAACAGGUAAUUCUUUCUUUUCUUCUCUAUUUUCUAGUUUUUUGGAUAUGUAUACUUUUUUCUUUUUUUCUAAUCCUAUGUGUUUAAUUGAAAAGUGUUUCAAUAAGAGAGAAAAUUUUGUCUUCUGGCUCCGCAACAGAUCUUGCUUUCUUAUUCUUGGUUCUUGUUUUCUUCCAAACUAUUUUAUGUUUCAUGAUUCAUUGAAAAAGAAAGUGCAUUCGAAACAUAUCACUGAAAACAUUAAAAUUUCUUCUUUUUAGGCAUGAAUCUGAAUUUAUUGGAGACAUUGUUAAGAAGAUAUCAGCAAAACUAUGUCGGACAUAUCCAGUUACUCAUAGCGACUUGGUUGGUAUUAGUGAACGCUUGGAGGAUUUGUAUUUGAAAAUAAACAUUGGGGAAGAUGAUGUCCGCGUUAUAGGAAUUUGCGGAAUGGGUGGCAUCGGUAAAACGACACUCGCAAGAGUUGCUUACACUCAAAUGUCACCUCAUUUUGAAGGUAAAAGUUUUAUUGCUGAUAUUCGAGAAGUUUCAGACAAAUGCGGACUAGUUUCUUUACAGAAACAACUUCUUUCACAGAUCUUUCAUGGUGAAUGCUUCAACUUUUUCGAUGUUCAUGAAGGGAGUGACAUAAUUAGCCAUAGGUUGUCUCACAAAAAGGUUCUUGUUGUUCUUGAUAAUGUUGAUAACAUACAACACUUAAAAUGCUUGGUUGGAAGGCACGAUUGGUUCGGAUUAGGAAGUAGAAUCGUUGUAACAACAAGAGAAGAACAUUUGCUUCGAUCUUGGCCAGUUGAUGAUAUGUAUGAGCCCACAACAUUAAAUCCCAAAGAUGCGCUUCAACUUUUCAGUCUGAAAGCUUUUCAUAGUGAUACAGUGCAGAAAGAUGAUUUUAUUGAGCUUUCUAAACAUGUUGUAAAUUAUGCUGGUGGACUCCCUUUAGCUCUUGAAGUUUUUGGUUCCUUUUUGUGCGGUAGAGAUGCGACUCAAUGGAGAAGUGCGAUUGAAAGACUUAAAAGAGAUUCUAAUAAAGAAAUUCUCGAUAAACUUCGAAUCAGUUUCGAUGGACUGGAAGAAAGGGAGAAGAAUAUAUUUUUAGAUAUAGCAUGCUUCUUCAAUGGGGAGGAGAAAAAUUUUGUGAUUAAAGUAUUAGAUGGUUGUGAGUUUUUUCCUGAUAUCGGAAUUGAUGUUCUCGUUAAAAAAUCUCUCCUAAAAGUCGAUGAACACAACAAAUAUUUGAAGAUGCAUGACUUGUUGCAAAAAAUGGGAAGAACAAUUGUUAAAGAAAAAUGUGUUGAUGAACCUGAAAAACGUUGCAGAUUGUGGGAGGAAAGGGACGUCCAUCAUGUCCUAACAAAAAACACUGUAAGUCAUUCAACAAAAGUUACAUACUAUUUCUUUUUUAUCCUACAUUAUUCACUAUUUAUUUUAUUUUCUUAUUGUCUAUUCUUGAUUUUUUUAGGCUACAAAAAUGAUUGAAGGCAUAAUCAUCGAUAAUAAAAGGUAAGAAGACACACAUAAACUUAUAUGUGUAUAUUAAAAAAAAAUUAAAAAUUAUUUUUUUCAUGUAUUUAAAAGGUUCUUAAAGGAUCAUAUCUUCAUACCCAUAUACGAAUGUGCAUUAGAUAUAAGUAUUGGAUACGAGUACUUAAAAAACAAUAUCAAUGCAACAUUUCUUUUAGAUAUUGAAUGUUUUUAUAUAUUUUGAAGCUCAUUUUUGUUUUGCUCAUGGAUAUUAGGGAAUCGAUCAAGAUGCUCAAUUUGAGUGUGGAUACCUUCUUGAAGAUGAAAAAACUGAGAUUGCUCAAAGUGCUUUGCCUUUCAAAUUGUAAUGAUCUCAAAUAUCUUUCUAAUGAACUACGACUUUUAGAUUGGACAGGAUACCCUUUAAGAUACUUGCCUUCAAGCUUUCAACCGGACAACCUUGUCGCACUUCUUUUACCAUAUAGUCACAUUCAACAACUAUGGAAGGGAAAUAGAGUAAGAAUUAACUCAUCUUAUCCUUGUGUUUUAGCUUAUUUUAAUAAAAAUUAUUAAACUUUGAUUAAGGUAAAACAGAAAAAAAAAAAAAUUGAGCAUUAUUAUGUUUUCUCAUUUGUUUCUAAUUUAUUAUGGUCUUCAACAGCCCUUGUUUAACUUGAAAAUAAUGAACCUCAGAGGGUCUCAAAACCUGAUCAAGACACCAAACUUCACAACCGCAUCAAAUCUUGAAGUUUUGAUUUUGGAAGGUUGUACCAAAUUAGUGGACGUUCAUCCAUCAAUCCAGGUGCUUAAGAGCCUUAAACUUUUGAAUUUAAGAGAUUGCAAAAGUCUUGGGACUCUUCCAACCAAAAUUGGAAUGGAAUCUCUUGAAACAUUAAUUCUUUCGGGUUGCUCAAGUCUUGUAAGGUAUCCGGAGAUUGAUGGGAAAAUGGAACGUCUAAAAACUCUAGAUCUUUCCGGUUGUUAUAGAGUGGAAAAUUUGCCGGAGAAUUUACAGCAAGCAAAGUUUUUGGAAGAGCUCGACUUGAGUGAAACAGCCAUAACAGAACCACCAUCCUUCAUUUUUCAAUUUAAAAAUCUUAAAGUUCUGUCUUUCAAUGGGCGCAAGGGACCAUCAUAUAAGUUACUACCAAAUUUGCCUUCUCUUUUCAAGGUGGAAGAAUGACGAAUCCCAUGGCUCGGAUGUUGCCCUUGUUGUCAGGUUUGAGUUCUUUAAGACAGCUAAAACUAAGGGACUGCAAUCUUUGUGGAGGAGAUCUUCCACGUGAUAUUUCUGGUCUAUCCUGUUUGAAAGAACUUGAUCUUAGUGNNNNNNNNNNNNNNNNNNNNNNNNNNNNNNNNNNNNNNNNNNNNNNNNNNNNNNNNNNNNNNNNNNNNNNNNNNNNNNNNNNNNNNNNNNNNNNNNNNNNCUACUCUCGAAGCUUGCAAAUCUUAAAUUGUCAAAUUGCAACAUGUGCACUGUUGGUGAAGCAGAUAGUCAUAGUGAUAUUUCUUGUUUAUCAUCUUUGAGAAGUCUUAAUCUUAGUGGUAACAAUUUCAUCACCAUUCCUUUGGCUCUUACUCAACAUUCCGGGCUGCAACGGCUUGUAUUGUCAGACUGCAAGAUGCUUAAAUUGUUGCCUGCGCUAUCAACAAAUAAACGAGUGCGGAUAGAUGGUUGUUCUUCACUUGAAGUAGUUGCAAGUCCAUCAAAAGUAUGCAAUUUAGUGGGUUGUGACAUUACUGCCAUUAACUGCUUCAAAUUGGCUGAGAAAAUCAAUGCAUUAACACUGCUGAAAGAACAUAUUAAGGUCUAUUAAUCUAUUUUUUCUCCCUUACAAAAUCUCAUACUUCAGAAUUUAUGGUUUUAGUUACCAGACGACUUGUGUUUUAUUUUGCAGGCGGUUCGAUAUCCAAGAGAUUGUUUUCAUGGUGGCAUCGUUGAUAUUAUGAUGCCCGGAAGUGAAAUUCCAGAAUGGUUUAGCCAACAAAAAAGUGAUUUUUCAAUUAAGAUACCCCUACCUAUCAACCUUUGGAAAGAUAGUCAAUGGAUUGGAGUUGCUUGUUGCUGCAUUUUUGUCAAUAAUGAUGCUUCAAGGAACGAGUGUAUCCACUGUGAUGGAUCUAUUUUUCGAGGUAAAAAUUGUCGACCAAUCUGUCAGAGAAACCGGUGGGUAGGUCAACGCUUUGACAAGCCCAUAAUGAAAGAUCAC
RNAcentral lists this long non-coding RNA (63641 nucleotides) under Gossypium raimondii (Peruvian cotton). RNAcentral describes it as "long non-coding RNA (GRAI_LNC005960)". Lineage: Eukaryota; Viridiplantae; Streptophyta; Magnoliopsida; Malvales; Malvaceae. The record is from RNAcentral.